RNAcentral lists this long non-coding RNA (82845 nucleotides) under Triticum aestivum (bread wheat). RNAcentral's name for it is "long non-coding RNA (TAES_LNC023743)". Lineage: Eukaryota; Viridiplantae; Streptophyta; Magnoliopsida; Poales; Poaceae. The record is from RNAcentral.
UUCUAUGUUCUGCUUGCUUAUCAAGUAAAGUCUACGAUGGACGGAUGUCGUGCUGAACAGGCCUUCUCAACUGUACUGCAUCACAACAGCGGUUUGGCCAUCGGGCCGGGUUUGAAGAUCGUCGACUCAGUGCGCUUUUGGGCAUGCACUGGAUUUACUUUUGUGCGGCUUUAUAAGACAGGGCUUUGACACCUGCAGAAUUGUGUCAAACCGCUGUCAUGACAACUCCUUUAUUUACGUCCUCGAACAAAGCAUCAUGUGUUGUAAAUAUCGCCGUUAGCUCUUCCUUUCUGAACUUCUUGUGACAACUAUCCACUGUAAAUACCGCUGGAUCAUGCUGCUUGCUCUAAGUCCUCUUGUUGUUCUUAUGCUGUGUGCUUCUUCUUAUGUCUUAUAUUUACUGCUACCCUUGCUAACAUAAUAAUGGCCCUUGUCCUUCGCUGAUUUAUCUGCCGAGCUAAACAUCAUGUUCCUUCCUGUUGGUUAACUAUUCCAGAUGACCAUUCAAGAUGUUCUUUGUGUAUGUUUGAUUAUCAAUAAGAACUCGCCACCUAAUCAGGAUUAUGAAUCACCGGUUAAACUUAUUGUUUCAAUAUCAUUCAUUCUUUGGCUUUCUCCUGAUGCUGUAUGGUUGCUUUCUGCAAAGGGAUCCUACGAAUUUAGUUUCCUAUCAUCCUAAGCCUUUAGUUGUGUCUGCGAGUCUAUGAGUCGUCUGUGAGCCACCUUCCGCUGCUGUGUGCUUUAUAUCUGGGAUAUUUGCUGCUAGACAAAGCAUAUUAUGUGCUUUCUAUUUUCAUUUUUAUUUUUUACUGGUUUUUCAGUAUUUGCAUACGGGUGAACUAAUAAUUCAUUCACCAGCUCUAGACUUUUCCCAUAUAUGAAACAUUGGGAAAGAAGGUUCUAUAUCAACUCGCUAAUUUCUGCGGCUCUUUGCUUCCCAUUAUAUCAUCUGCUCAGUGGCCUUACGACAAAAUAAAUCUUAGAUUUAUAAUCAAGGCCCUGGUUUACAAUCAAAGUCGAAUUCUGCCCUUCAAAUAGCAACAGCUGACAAAAUAUUAUAUGUACUUUAUUUUAAAUUCCAAAUUGCCAUUGUGCGUUCACAAUUUGUUUACACAUAAAAAAGCUAUUUUAAAUUUGGCCGCGGGUUGAAAAAUUAUUAGCAGCUUGAAAACUUUUUCAUUAUUCUCAAAAAGUACUCUCUUUGCGAAAGGUCAACAGUUAAAAGUUUUCCUUGUUCCAAAAUUGUUUGUAAAUUAAGAAAUUUUGCUUCUUCUUACAAGUGUUCAAAAUUCAACAGUUGUUCAUUGCUGUGAAGAGUUGCCCAUAAUUUUUAAAAAAUGCUCCUGCUUUCCCAUCGUUUGUUCGCAAAUUCAACAAAUGUUCGUGCUUUCCUAUUUUCUAAAUUUUCUUCCUUUCUACCAUAAAAUGAUCAUCGUUUCAGAAAAAUGUUUCUGUUUUUCAAUGGUUGUCCAAAUCUUCAAAAUGUGUGCUAUUUUACAAAUUCAGAACAUUUCUAGCAUUUUUUUAAAACUCGUGUCUUCUGUACCGAAAGCAAUCGUGCUUUCUAAAAGAAAUUGUUCACAUCUUACAAGAAAAGAUCCACAAAAGAAAAAUUAAUCCAAUCUGCCGGGGUGACUAGGUCCAAAGUAUUAACAUUGCCAUUGCACCAACAAAUUGCAUCAAGCCUGGUGGAAUAGGAAUAAUGCAGAGCUUCAGCUAGGAAUUCUGCUGUUCCACAGAAGCAUGAGCAGUUCGCUGAGUCGACAAAACAAGUAUUCUGUUCUAUUCAGGCCUAAUGAACAUGUAGCUAUGUGCGGCCUAGAUACAGCCUACCUACAGCCCAGUCGCGGAGAGUGGAGGUGACACUAGGACCAAUUAUCCCCUCCGGUAAAUCUUUCACGCAACAGGACACACACCUGUCCUGUGGCUACUCGUUGAAACCUCGGUCAUUCUCUGUUCAUCGAUGGUGCAUGCGGUGAAUCUCACCGCCGAGGCCCACAGCGGGCGAGGCGCUCUUAUCCUCUCCUUCUCUACAUCUUAUCCAUUCCUCUCCUCCCCAUUCUCUCUGGUAGCACUCUCAGAUCCAACCCUCAGCGACAACCAUUGGAAGCUUGCCAUGGAAGCUAUGAAGACCGCCGCCGACUGACUCUUCCCCACGGUAUUCCCUUCGCCGCCAUUGUAUUUUACUACUCUACUAUGUUCCCUUCUCUUACUGCAAAUUGGAUGCUCUAAUCCGGUUUCUCAUGCUUCUUUUAGAUCCACGAUUUUUUCUGCUGACCCGCCUAGCAGUUCUUCUACCACCGGUCACCAUGGUCUUCCUAAGGUAUAUAUCUAUUCCGUUCUGGUCUAAUUUACUGUUAAGCUGGCUUUGAGGCACCAGUACAUAAUGUGGCUGAAACCCCUUGUGCCAGUGCUUCUCAUUUUUUUUAUCCUUAGUAUUGUGUCUGACUACCUAAGACGUGGUGGUGUUUUAGUGUGGUCAGGCUUAAUAUCCUUUCUGUCCAAGGUAAACAAAAUAGAUGAGAGCGAUGGAUCUACCUAAUAAUUUACUUCAAUUCCACAACCUUCCUAUAAGCUGUGAAUUAUAUAUUACAGAAAAAUGAUAGUAGACAUCCUGAUCCACCUGCAGUUAGUCUUCUCAUCACAAAAUCCAAACUGUAGAACCCACUUGUCACCUAUCAUGUUUUCUUCCCCUUCCAAGCCAUACAGACUUGAGGCUGAUACUAUACUUCAAGCCAGCUCUUUAUGAUAGUGACAUUCUCUCUCGCUUGCGGCAGGUCCGGACAAUGGCUUCUGUUCCAAUUUCAUCUAAGAUCCUGCUUGAUGCUAUGUUAGAGAAGGUUGGCCUGCCAGGGGCCACCUACUCAGCAAGCCCAAAAGAUGGUGCCCGUCUGCAAGUCACUGUUACCUUCUAUCCAAUCAGGAUCAGGCUCAAGCGUUCACCUGUCAAGGUUUCCCUUUCUACCUCGGAGCACCAAGAUCUUGAGGAAGCUCAAGAUUAUGUAGCUUCUACAGCAAUUAAGUACAUGGAUGCUUAUGAGGGCGUGGUUCCAAAAGACUAUAGUUAUGAUCAACUGAAGGCUGUGGAAAAAAAUGCACUAUUGUAUCAGCAGCUUAAGGCAAUGAAGAGGGACAACGCAUGUCUGAGACAGAAGCUAAAAGAGAGCAUUGGCAAAAACAAACUCCUGAGCAAAGGAUGGGAUGGAUCCCUGGACACAGAACAGAGCGUCACCAACAAUCUUAAGCAUUUGGUUAGUAGCAGGAUGAGCCCAGGAUCUGCUUCAGAUGACCUGGAGCUUAACAAUGUUCUUCUCAAUGUAGAGGCCAAAGGCGAACAUCUUCAGCAGUGCACUGAUGACACAAUGGUUAACCUUCAGGAGACUGGCGUUUAUCCAUACGGUCAGGAACAACCAAUAGAUGAAGAUGAAGGUCUGUCAACCCAAGGCGAUGGAAAUCCACCGUCACACCCGGAACUAAGAACCUCAUUUUAUGAUGAGGAGAUCAUUGACAACAAAGGGUGCUGCUCUGGUGACUUCCGUGCCCUGCCUGAAGAUCGCUUCUAAUCUCAUAAGGACCAUCAGAUCGCCAUCAUCAUCAUUAGAGCCAGUCGCUGUUCCCUACUAAUAUAGUUAUCUAUAACCAUAUGUCGUGUGUUUCUUAUCGAACCAUGGUACAAUCAGUGCGUCCGAAUCUAUCUAUUUGGUUGUGAUGGUCUGUAUGUAAGUGUGCACCUGAUAAUGUAAUCUACCGCAUCGAACCAUAUCCUAUCGAACCAUGGUACUCUCGGUUAUGCAGCAUAUGCUACCAAAGCUUGGUGCUUUGUCUAUUUGUUUCGCUGCACGCUAUUGUAUUUGAAUCGUGUGUUGAAUUGCAUUUCUAUGCUUGCAAAUUUACUUGAGCAUUCUGCCUUUACUAUCAUACUUCUGUUACUUUGCUUACAUAGGUCCCUGUGAUUGCCUUUAAAUAGUUUUAACCUGUGCUUUAUUCCCAUGCCACUCAAAUUUUAUAUAGCCUCGUCCUGCGGACAUUGCCAGCUCAUUGGACGAUGAUGAUUUCAUAGUCAAGGGGCUUCCACAGGUUAUGACUAGGCCAUGCAUAUGCUUCAACAUUCUUCAUGUUGCCGUAUCCAGUUGACUUGAUAAAUUCUUUCGUCUUUCUAUUGAAUGCAGCUCUCUGCCAUCUCUGUUACCAUUAGCAGAAGGUAUAUGCUUGAACAGGCUAUCAAGCGGAUCCGCGUUACAAUGCAUGCAUUCGAGCUUACUGAUGAUGAUGACACCACGGUGAUGGCAUCAGUGAAAAUCGAUCUACAACCUCACAGCAAAAGCAUAUUGCCAACCCAACAGGUGUUCUCUGGAGAAUCAACUCAAUUUGCCAGCGACGCUGUUGAAUCAACAUGUUCUGCUGCUUUGUCCUAUCUGUUGACGACGGGCAUAAUUACGAUAGAUGACUACAACUCAGCAGAUCUCAAUAAUUGCCAGAGACAACUCAAAGCUGAGCAGUUCUGGUCAUCAAAGCUAUAUGAUCGUGUGGAGUCAUUUCAAAAACAGCUCAGCUCCUUGACUACAACAAAGAAGAGGCCUCGUUCAGAGAGUAAUGAUGAUAGCACUCCAACAGCUAAAUGUGUGAAUAAAUCAGAGGUAAUCAUUGCUUUUUUGUGCUCUCCACUUGCGUUCCUCCAAUACCACAUACCAUUUUACAUACAAUUGCUCAUUGACUUGUAGGAUGGCCUCAACGACACUCCCGGUUCGCUGCCGCCAAACAAAGAAACAUCAACCAAGUAACAUGCCCUCCCUCCUGCUCUUUAGACUCAUGCAAUUAUAUACAUUACUCAUGUCUAUUGCUUUCCCAAUGAAACAGAUCGCAGCUCCAGCAAAGAAAUAAAAUCUCAGCCUGUUGCCCGCAGAGCUUUACUCUUUAAAGACUAAAUGCACGGAUCACAUGUAAGACAGCUUGUAGGAUCAUUUCCUGUGUAGCAUUCUUAAAUGCACUGCCUAGACCUUGCUCGCCUUACAUACAGUUCUGUGCUUAUCCUUAUAAGUUGGUGUACAAAUCCCGGUCCUGCACUAUUAACAUAUGCACUUUCUUUUAGAAUUGAGCAUACCCUGCUUGUCAUUAGCACUCUCUUUACAACAUCUACAUCUCUCUUUACAGAAGAUUAUCUGUUUCUUACUUUCCAAUAGUGAUCAUCCUCAUCCACCCAUACGUCGUCUAGAAAAUUAUUAGAGCAUUUCUUUGACAAUGUAAAGCAUCGGCAAAAAACAUCAAAAUGUAGCGUACUAACUUGGCGUUUGUUCCCUUAUCUACUGUUCCAUACAUAUAUAACCAAUGUCUUUGAGUGAGCUUUUUUAUCUGAUAUUGCAUACUUCGAUAUCGCCUGUUGAUGUGUCUUUGAAUGUAAACGUCUAACUGCUUUAUCAUCCCCAACAUCCAGGGUGCGUAGACAGGACUGAUGUUGCUCAAAUGUGAGCAUACGUGCCCGUGUUGAAGGAGUUUUGCCCUCUGUCUAUGCCUCAAGUGUCAAUGAUGGCUCUCCAUAUUAUCGCUACCAUGUCUUAUUUGUUUUGUUUGCUCAGCAAAUGUUUUGUUGUACAAGAAUUAGACGAUACUGGACCUGUAUAAUUAUGUCCUACUCAUGCAGUUUAUUAUGUAAGUUUCGAAUGAUGUUAUCUGUUUCUAUUAAUAUCAUAUCAUGUAUUGGAAACUCUUCUCUAAAGUAGUCCUGCUCUAUGUGAACUUUUAAAUCUUUGCAGAGUUUUUGUGUUAAUCCUUGAAAUGUUCCAGUGGUUGUAUAAAUAUGCUAUAUGUAGGUGCCCCCAGCACUUCCCGCCUGCUAAAGUUAUCUUUUACUAAUUUUUUGCUUCUUGCUUCAUUUCUUAGUGUUGUGUAGUCAGCUGUAUUCCAUAGAGAAUUAUUUCAUAUUCUGACAGUACUCCUAUUCAAAUUCCAGCGUUUGCCCAUUUGACCAUUUUUAUAAUGUCUUUCUAACAAUUUAAAUGUAUUAAUAUUGUACUCACAAAUUAUUUGUAUCUGGCCCAACAAAAACACAUAUUCCCUGUCCACAAAAAAUAGUAAACGCAUCUGCUUUUGGAUAAUGGCACCGUUAUCUAUAAAACCAAAAUUGAAUAGCACUAUUCAUACAUGCUACUGUGAAAUGUUCUGCCUUUUAGAGUUUUAAACCCUUGCUAAAGAAAAAUGAAUGCCGCCUAUUUUUUUCCCGGCCUGCCUUCUCCUGCUUCUUUUCUUCGCUGAGUCCCUUGCUUCAGAGUACCCCUUUUCUCCUAUGGGCCAUCCGCCUUCUCAGGGCCGAGACACUGGCCCUCUCCAUCACACGCACCAAGCUCUGUCUUCUCUUCCUUGGAUUCCUCUCCUCAUCCACACAGCCCCCAUUCCCCUCCCACCCCUCUCCCUGUCCACCCCUGCCUCUCUCCACUCUCUCUCCUUAUCUGCUUACAGCUCCUUCAAGUUCGAUGCUGCUCCAACCGCACCAGAUCCCUGGAUAGCCACAUCCUCCGACGAGUCUCCGCAGUGCUAUGCUAUUUCCCAGGUGCGCCUCCUCCUCUCCAGAUCCAUCACUCUUAAGAUUCUCGUUGUCAACGGCGGGUGUUCAUGUUGGACAGAUCUGCUUCUUUCUCUUUCGUUUUUUCUUUACCUUUGACCGCCUAUGAUUUUUCUUCUUAGGUUUUCGGUCUAUUUGAGUGUUCCACAAAGCCGGCCAGGAGAUACUAGAAGCACGGCCCCGGAGUGAAGGUAUAUUCCUCUGUUUCUAGAUCCUCAUCCAGCUAUGUCUUCGAUUCAUGCGCAUGAAGAUAUUUUCCAUUCCUUUUUAUAUAGUUUGAUAUAUGAUUCAUGUUCUGUCAUAUAGCUAUGAAUAUUGUACUCUCAUAAAGGCAGUAAAAUAUAUAAUUUACUGCUCUUUAUUAAUCGUUUCUAAAAUAUUCAGCAUCUUUCUUUCUUCUAAUUUAGCUUCAUCUCAACAAGCCACGUAGUCAAUGCCUAUGAUUUACCUAUACUCUUUAAAAACCUGUAUUUUCUCUCCCUGUUAAUAUUUGCCCAUUCAUAGACCUGAUUGGCUGACCAAACUAAUUAGAACCACUCCAGAUUCAGUGACCUGCAUAGCUCGCAAAUGAGUUUUCUGGAUACAUGCAAAUCAUAAUUAAGUGCCAAUCUCGAGUCCACGAUAAUAUUAGGCAUAAAUCAAGCAAGAUAUACUAGAUUAAAUAUGCAGCCCGUUGCUCUGCAUGAGCUUAAAAUGACUUGAGCUAUGUUUAGCAGAGUCAUGCAAAAUAUUGCCUCUGUUCAUAGCCUCAUGAUAUUAUAGCUUUGUUUCAUGAUGCACUUAGUAAAGCACUAUUAGAUCCUUACUGCAUAUGAAUUUUGAGAAUUUGGUCUUCAUUAUUCUCAUUGCACACUAUGCUUAUGCCUUGUGCCAGCUCCCCUGAGCCUGUCUUUUGAAACCAUCCUCAUGGAAUUGGUCGAGCUACGCACACCAUUUUUGGCCGAGACAAUGUUUGAUAAGCUUGGGCUCCCAAGGCCAGUUUACCAUGUGCGUAUGCUCGAGCAAGGUGGAUAUAGGGCACAGAUUGAGUUUCACCGUACCAAAGAGCAUUAUGAUGCUUCGGCGCGCCGGACUAAAUUGUUGAGCCAUAUAUGUGUCAGUGGAGAGGCAGCAAUGGAUCAGGCAGCCGAUCAAGCAAUUGCAUACAUGGAAAACAAUGAAAACAAGGUUCUUGCUGAUUAUAACUACUAUCGGCUGCAACAAGAAAAACAAUCUUGUGCAAGACUUUCAGACAAGCUGUCAGAGAAAACAGAAAAAAUCAACCAGCGCAACCAGACAAUCAAACAGAUGACUACAGAGGCGUCCGAUUAUCUGGAAGAAGUGCAUGCUGCAUCAGGCAAGAUCCAUGGUCUCGCUGUCACUGCCUUAGACCCUGCUGCCAGCCUUUCUCUUUCCACUCUAAAACAGGCUAUUUUAGAGAUUCAAGAUUCACUCAUUGCUCUCUAGAGCACUACAUCCGCUGCAUGUGCCUCCCUAGAGGAAAAGGGCAUGUACUCAGAGGAUGAUGUGUCUCAACCAAUCUACGAUGGGCUUUCUGAUGAAGAACUCGAUGAAGAUUACCAUCAAGACAUGGAUGACGACUGUGCUAACUAUGUGCGAUCCCCAUAGGCACUGUUUAAGACCUACUAGGCCGAUCAACAAGUGAAGUUUUCUACAUAUAACUUCACUAUAGGCCUUGCUUCUUUCUAGAAAGACCUGGUCUGUUAUUAUAUUUAGCCUACUAGGUUGCCUAAAUUAAAUGUGAAGCUCCAUGUUUAUAGCUUCACCUAAGGAACUGUCUUACUCUUAGACUACUCUGUUGUUGUACAUGAACAUGAAAUAUAUUCUGCUAUCUAAGACCAGUGUAAUAUAUGUAUGUUCUACCUUCGUUUUUUCGAGUUUUUGGGUUCCGUCCUUACAGUAUUUUUCCCGUGUGCCUCUGAUUAUUUACUCUGUUUUCCCAAUACAAACACACAGAACAUUGGCUGCCCCAAUGCACAAAUAAUCGUUCGUUAUUGAUAUUCAGUUCUAUUUACUUAUGAACAGAUAAAAAACAAACCAGUUCGUUGGUGGAUUCAAUCUUGGUGAAGUUUUCCUUAUGGAGGAAACCAAAUGCUGGCCUCUAUGAUCUGUUGCACAUACUGAUCUGUCCCAAGGUAUUCAUAACCAUUUUAGAUCCAGAUCCUUUUGCUCUGCGAUUAAAUAUACCUGUGAUUAUCUUCGUCGUAUUCAAUAUUGCAUAAAUUUAGAUGCACAAGAUAGCUGCUUAUAUGAAUCCUGUUCAAAAACAGAUAGGUUGAAAAAAUUGUCACUUGUCUUGCUGUAAUUCUAUCUCCAGCUGUCUAAAAGGAAAUGUAUAUGUCUGCUUAUAUUAACCUCUGUUUUUGCCUGAGUCAACAGAUGGCACAAUCAAUCUAGAUAUAGCUAUGAUUAUCAACUGCCCUAUGCUUCAGUAAACAGUUGUUUAGAAGGUUGCAAAAAUUGUUCCACUCCAUCUAUUUGUACGCAUAAGAACUCCAUGUAGCUCUGUUUGUCACAAAUUGUUUACUAUUUUGUUAUCUCCUGCUUGCUACUACCUCUGCAGGUCCAAAAUCUCAUCCUUUUCUUGCUUUUCAAUGAAGGUCUCUUCUAAAAAGUUGAGCACACCAUGGAAGCUGAAAACAUAAAGCUUGAUGAUGAUGUUGUUGUGCCUGGUACGCUUGAUGAAGACGACGCCAGUCAAAAUAAUAUAAUACCAUUGUCCUAUGCUGGCAAGACUCGUUGUAUGACUCACUCCUAUCGUGAUGGAAUGGUUGGUUCCCAUGUCCACACCUCACCUGAUAUAAUCACCAGCUUCACAUGUAACCCAAAGUGGGCUCAAAUAACAAAGACGCUUAAGCCUGAACAACAGCAAGUCAAUAAGGCUGCUGAGACUGAUCGUAUCUAUCGCAUGAAGCUGCAUGAGUAUCUGCAAAAGAUCAAUGAAGGGAAGAUAUUUGGGCCUGUUAUCUCUGGUAAUGUGGCUGAUGAUAUAUCUCUGAUUUCUUCAUUUUCCUUUGACAUGCACGGCCAAUCUCCUCUUUUACAGUUAUCCACGACAUCGAAUUUUUAAAAAAAGGGCUACCGCAUGCCCGGGUCCUUGUUUGGCAGAAGAAAAAACAUAACAAAGUGGUCAUCCCAGCUUUCAUGAAAACCUUUGCUUCAGCCACUGUUGGUAUUUCUUUUGGACCUAAUUUCUUCUGCUUCUUUCUUUCGCUUCCAUUUUACAUACUUUGUAGUAAUUAGUUUAACUCUAUCACAGGGAUCUGAACUUACUGAUACUAUUGGCGAUGUUCCUGGGUAUGGUCAGAUGCCUAAGCUAGAAAGGUAUGAAAUCUCUAUACAAUGAAGCAUAAUACACAACCAUCUACUUACCAAAGCCAUAAAUACUCAUAUAAACUAUACCUUAUUUCAAACUAUAAAUCCACCAUGUAAAAAGCUUCUAUUCCUGUUCUAAUUGGACCUGUGAAAACUUUGUUCCUUUAUUCCAUCUUAUGGAUUUUGUGUUCCUGUUCAUAUAAAUUCCUGAAAAUUUGAUGAUCCUAGAGAUGAGCCGGCUGUUGCAGCGUAUGAUUCAUCAGGCACAUUAGAGUCGAGCUGAACCCAACUUUCAAAUGAGCAUAAGAAAGCGGUAUGUGUGUUCUUGCAAUCUCUUCUUUCUCCUUAAUUUUUUGUUGCCAUCCUUUCCGUUCUGUUAUCUUUAACAUGAAACACAUAAAUGCAGCCUGCCAUGUCAACAUCUUAACUUACAAACUUUCUUAUUCUUCAUGCCAGAUGAUUUUGUGCAUGGAGUCUUGCUGCCUUGAUCAUUGGUACCUCGGCCCUCGCUAUCUUCACCCCACGACAAGUAACAAUUACCUUUUGAACAACAGCCAACCUUUGGCCUCGUGAAGAGACACGAAAGCUCUCUUCGAUCAAUUCCUUGUUUAAGAUCUGUAUUAGACUACUUCCAAGCCUUGUACAAAUCACCACGACUCUCCCUGCUUCCCCUGUCUCCUCAGUAACUGUUUGUAUCCAUUGUAAAUGCUCAUUCAGCCAUGUUGCCGGACAUAUAUGUUAUAACCACUGCCAUGCUAAGUAUUCUCUGCUUUAUAUCUGUGUGCUCAACCUUCUCAGUUUUUUAUUAAAUCUUAAACUGUAAUCACUGACCUUUGUACAGUUUAUUAAUUAAGAGUGAAACUCCGUUAGCAAAUACACAAAUUUUUUCUGUAUUUUAACAUUGAACACCUCACAGAUUAGCACCGAGGCCGAAUAUUUUAACAUUCCCAAGGUUUUAAUCAAAUUAAGCACACAUCAUGAUAUACUUUGCAUACCUGUGUAUGCUACAAAAUUCUUUGCUCGACGCUUUUGCGUAUUUUGCUUCUGAGAAUAAAAAAUCUUGCAUCUAUCCACAGAAGCUUGACCCACUACCUACAAGACCUAUAAUUAGCUUUUUUCUUACUCCAUUCUAUAUUUACGUGUGUAAGUAUCACUAGGCAGAUCCAAGCCAGACGAAAUUCAGGAGUCAUAAACACAGAGACAAGCCCAUCAUAGGCAAUUGUAAAAGCCCAUACAGGUCCAGCCCACCUGUGCAUCGUAUAUAACCACUGCUCGAGGAAGCUUCUGACCUAAAUCCCCAAUCGACUGGCUCCUGGCUGUUCUCUCUGCUGACCGGCGCGGCUCCACCAGCGAUCCAUCAGUCCUUGCUACAGAAAGAGGUGAUUCAUCACUUGCUUUCCAAUCUCUUUCUCUAUUUCCUUGUGAUUCAUCACUUGCUUUCCAAUCUCCUUGUGACACCCAAGCUUUUAUUUGGAUUUUUCAAAAGAUUUUUAUUUGACUUGAGGGGAGUGAUUAAAAUUUUUCCUUUAAGAGAACUCUCCCUCUCAAAUAUUUUUUUUUCAUGGCAAAAGUUUUAUUUGGAUUCACCCAAGAUCUGUCUUUGGUCUUGGAGGUUCUUGCUUUUCAUUUGGACUCAAAACCAAAUGUUUUUCUUUUGGGGAAAACAACUUUUAAAAAUCUUAAUGGAAAUGCACUAUGGCUUUUGGAAAACUCCUUUGCCACUUUCAACAAUUCCUUCUUGCCAUGGCCUUAGUGCAAAUCCUCUCUCCUAACCCUUCCCUCACCUUUGGAUCAUGAUCUGCAUCAAAUCCAGCAAGUUGGACCUCCCCAUGUGAUCAUUUCCAUUUGAAUCUUAUUCAAACAAAUUCCUGUCUUCUAUCCUACUACUUGGAGAUUUACAAAGGAACUCCAUUUUCUGUUUUGAUUUUUGCCCCCAAACCAACUCUCCUCCCUAGUCCUUUGAACCCUCAACCAAGAUCCAUGAAGAUCCACUGGUCUUCAGUUCAAAAUUUUCAAACUACACUUGCUGCAAGUUUGGACCAGAUUUGUCAAAUUUGGUGAAAUUCAUUCAAAACCUUCUCCAAAAAUUCCAAGUAAAAUCAGGCAGCCUCUGGGUGCAUUGAGUGGUCAUCUCACCAAGUUACAGCUCCAGAAAAAUUCAUCUCAUUGCAAAACCUCUCUGUCGAACACCUGCAGUGCAUGGUCAUGUCAAGUUCAGAAAGUUCAGAGAUUCAGUCAGUGGCCUGCUGUCGUUUUCUUCAGAGAAGGACGUCGAUCUCGCCAGUGCCUCUGCGUCGCCUUGCUCCUCGUCCCCUCCCCCUUGUUCCUGCACCGCACGAACGCCUGGCGCCUUGCGGGCGUCGGCGACGAGCAGCAGAAGGUGCGCCGCCCCGUGACCGACGCCGGCGGCGGCUUUGCGGACGCCAGCGGGAGACACGGCGCCGACGACGCCACCCAGCGCCGCCCAAACCACCGGAGCUCGCCACGUGGCCUUCCACUCCCCCGAACGCGCUGACCACCCUCGUCGUGAACCGCAGGGCGCGGAGCGCGCUCUCUGCCGCCGUCGAGCCCGUGCGGUCACCACACCGUGGACCGACGCCAUUACACCAAGACCAUCUCCGUUUAGCUGUAAAACGACUCCAGUAACCUCCACUGAUGCUGCCUGGCCACUCAAACCCCCUGCCAAUCCACUGCUCCGCCGUAAUCGCUCGCCGGAGAUUCUCCGUUCACGGCCACCCCGUCGAUCCGCCUAUAAAUAGAGGCCCCGAGCUUCAACUCGAGCACCCACCAGCCCUGCACUCCCCCUAGAGCACGACUAGCCACUGGAAGAGCCCCGAGGAGGUCUCCUUCCUCGACUCCGGCCGCCGCGACCCGCCACGGGAUCCAGCCCGAUUCGCCCCCGUGUGUGCUCCUCCGCCUCCAUUCUCUUACCAGUAGCUUCACCAUGCAUCCCUCUUUCUGACCCGCACUUCAAUUUGAAGCUUGCAGCCCUCCACCGGAGUUCCCCAUCCUCACCCGAGCCGCCGUCCGCCGGAGAAAGUGUCGCCGUCGACGUGGUGCUCCCCGUUGGACGAGUCCACCACCCACCGACGCGGAAGAAGACGCUGAAGCUCUUGGUACCCUGCGUUUCUCCUAACUCGCCGUGGUUCGACGCCGGCGUCCACCGCAGUCUUCGGGCGCCGGCGAGCUUUUCAAACCUGACAUGUGGACCCCGCGUGUCAGCCUCUGUUUUAUUCCACCUCGAACCGUUUUCUGUUGACGCCUUCGGGCAAAUACGUUUUCUCCUUUGCGCUUGCGCAUUCCCAAUUGAACCGUUUUCUGUUUUCUCAGUUAAAACCCUGGAACUUUUCCGUUUCAUUACAGAUAAGUCCCUGGACAGAAACCUUUAUAACUUUUUAAUAAAAAGGAAUUUUUGAGUGAUUCUUUUUUUGACAAUCUUCAAAUUUUGUCUAGUUUUUUAUGAGAUUUAUUUGAAAAAUAUUUGGAAAAGUUUCUGUGCACCCAUUGGUUUUCACGUUAGUACCCGUUUCGUGAUUGCCGUAGGUUCCGGAAGAGGUGACGGAGCCGCGAACUUCGCCGAGCUAGACUCCGACUUCUCCGAACCAGGCAAGCAUGUGUUGAACAUUUGAUAUGACAGGUGUUUUGCAUGUUUGCGUGAAAGUUUGUGCGUGGCAUAUGAGUGUCGGUAAAUACCUCGUUGCUUGUAAGGCAACGACCCGGAUGUUCCAAAGUUGCGAUGAUCUCUGAUGAGAGAUGGCCUAAUCAUGUGGUGACAUGAAGGGCAGCAAGGUGGUACUGUUGUAGCAUACCAGCCUUGCGUCAUCCGACUUUCUUCGACGUUAACGUGGUUGGAGCCACGUUAUCGUUCUUUUCCCGCAUGUUCCAAAGUUGCGAUGAUCUCUGAUGAGAGAUGGCCUAAUCAUGUGGUGACAUGAAGGGCAACAAGGUGGUACUGUUGUAGCAUACCAGCCUUGCGUCAUCCGACUUUCUCCGACGUUAACGAGGUUGGAGCCACGUUAUCGUUCUUUCCCCCUUCCGUGCUACCACAUGUCUCAUUGCCAGGAUGCGGUUUAGUAAGUUGGUAACCUCUUUCCGUGUACACACCAAACAGAGAGGCCGGGAUGAUGGUACCUUGGCCCAGGAUUAAAGCCAGUCAUCCGGUCAGGGGGCAUGGGUGUUUCCGGUUGGGACCGAGAGGGGGGGCACCCCCUUAGAGCGCGCGUAUAGAAAUUUGAUCCCAUGCUACGCGAGGUUGUAGCCUCCCCAUCUCAAGGUUUUUCUUGAACGUUGCCGAGGGUGAUCCCUGGCUUCGGAUGGUUGAAUUGGGUGUGUACUGGUUAGACGUGUUUCUUCCAAAACACCGUAGACGGAACUAGUCCCCGUGACUACUGAAAUCCGUUGGCUGUGGUUAAGUACAAACUCUGCAGAGUCAAUUCUUUCCAAAUCAUCGUAUCCAUGACCAAGUAAUGAAAACAUUAUAUCCAUAUCUAUCCGCGUGGAAGAAACUUGUCCCCGGUGAACAAUCUCAAGUGGUAAAUCCAGAUUUAUUGUUAUUCCUGUGGAUGGACUAACUUUAUUUUUGUCUCAUGCUUGUGAUUAUUUAUGUUCCCGAACUGUUGUAUUAUUGAGUUGUGAUAUAAGCCCUUUAUGUGACGUCGCGCAGACGUCCGACUGUGGCGUGUUCUUGUUCCUUACUUUAAAUAUAAGCCCUUUUUGUGAUGUCGCUCAGACGUCCGACUGUGGCAUGCACUGUAUUUAUUUUCUGUUAUAAGCCCUUUAUGUGGUGUCGCCCCGACGCCCGACUGUGGCAUUAUUAUUCCGCAUUUUCCGCUCGAGGAGUCUUUCAGACACUCGUUUGGCACCAGUAUUACUACUUUGCAUUUUUCCGCUCGAGGAGUCUUUCAGACACUCGUUUGGCACCAGUAUUACUAUUCUGCAGUUUCCGCUCGAGGCGUCAUUCAGACCCUCGCUUGGCACCCAGUAUUUAUUACCUCUAUGUCUGAUCGCACCGGUUAACUUGUUCAUGUGCUUCAUGUUUACAUUUGUUAUAUCUUAUGUCCGAACUGUCUUGCGAGUACUUUCAUAGUACUCACCUGGCUUGUUGAUUUGGCCAGAUGUUGACGAAGGCGAUCUCUUGGAUGAAGAGUUUGAUAGCGCGUCCGAUGCCUAGAGGAGUCCCAGUCAGUCCUGCGCGAUCCCGGAUAUUGGUCACUUGUAUUGUAUACGCUUCCGCCACCCGCAAUAAGUCUCCUCGAGCCUCACUCCGACGCUCGAAGAGCUGUAGUCUUCUGGAAUCAUAUCACUCGCUUCGCGGUGAUAUUUCCACCACCGUUAUUAUCGUGAGUUAGUAGUUGCCACCCUAUCCGCCGUAUUGUUUUAGCGGCGUGCAUGUAAUAAAUUGUUGGGCAGUCUCUGCUCAACCUUGUAUUAUAUUUAGUACUCCUGGUAUUUUUCUUCUGUGACCAAGAUAUUGUCUGCCAGUGAGAAGGAAUUCUUCCUCGCUGGUCCGUAAAAGGGAUUGGUCUCUCAAUAAUUAUUUUAUUGAAAAACCGGUCGUGACACUCCUUCUCUAUUUCCUUUCUCCUCACUGUAGUAUCCCUCUUCAAUCUCAGAUCCAGAAGCUCACGCAUGGAGGACAUGGACAUUGGUAUCGUCUGUGACGAGGGUUCCCCAAGAUCAAUGGCGUCAAGGACAGGAACGCCUGCACCCAAUGUAAUAUUCUAAACACCUGUUAUAGUUCAUUCAUCCUAGAGAUAGCCUCGACCGAAUUGCCAUGUCCAGUUGAAAUCCUCAUCUAUUGGUUCAGCUAUUAUUUUGUGAGACAAAAAAUUUACCCUUGCUUUCUCCCUACAGGAUAAUGACUACCUGAUAGUGAUUCCGUAUGCCCACAUAUUUGACCUCAUGCUGAAAGCUCUGAAGCUGCCCCCUGCAACUUGCCAUCACAAAAUAUACCCAGGCGGAAAGAAUCGUGUGACAGUCACUUUCAUUUCUACUUUGGAACUGCUAAAUGGUUCACUUGUCCCGAGUUCUAUACCAGGUGCAAUCUUAGAUAGCUAUGAAGAUGCAGAAGAUAGCGCUGCUAUGGAGGCUAUUAGAUACAUGGAAAAUGCAUAUGGCAAAGAAAUGAGGGGCUACCACUACACCCAUGUCAAGAGGCUGGAAAAUCAAGUGAGGCACCUGGUCAAAUGGUUGACUGCAUCAAAUGAGACAAUCAAGAAGCUGCGCAAAACAUGCUACUACGCUGUCAGGUAUAUGAGCUCGUAUUCUGCCCAAAUAGAAAACACAACGGCUGCUCGCCACCUGAAUGGGCAGGAUAACACCAAGGGAGUUAUGAAAACAGCUCUUGCAAGCAUCGAAGGACUGACGCAGAGGCUACGCUACAUUGCUAUGAAGUUUGAGCAGCGCCUCGAAGCAACAAGAAAAAGUUUCUGGUAAACUUUGCUCAAUGUAUCCUGGACAGCGUGCUUCAGCGGUUACUGCAACAACCACCUUUUGUUUCAUAUCUAUCAGACCAGUAUCUUUCCCAUUUUGGGCUACUCUUAGCAAGAUAUGUAUAGACUUUAGUCCUCCCUUGCUGCCUCUAUGGUGAAAAGUAGUCUAUGAUGUAGUCUAUGAUCUUUAGAUUUUGUUGUUGUCUCUAUGGUUAAAAGCGGUUUACCAUCGCUUUUGUAUAUAUGUGAAGGACUCCUCUUCUACUGUUGUUUCCAGAGCACUAUGCCUCAAGAAACAACAUUUCCUUUUAUGCAUGCUUUCACAUUAAUGUUUCCAUCAAACAUUCCUUGUGAUCAUAUCUGCAGCACUUACAAGAUCAUAUUAAGAUUUCCCAAUGGAUCCUGUACACAUUCCACCGAUCUUAUCUACUUACUACAUAUAGUAUAUAAGCUAUUCUUUUCGAACAAUAAUGUGUUAAUGCAUACUCUUACAACAGUUAGCUAAACAAUACUCACUUCCCUAGCUUGACUGCACACAAUAGCACGCUCUCAGUUCUCAGUAUAACACACUUUUCUCUGUCUUUCCAUUUUUACCUACAAUAAAAUUAGACAAAGCCUUCUCCAUACAUAUUCGUAUUGUCCAUGUAUUCAAGUUCAUAGGCAUAUAUAUUGACAUACCAUGUAUAGUUUUUUUUGCAUACAAUGAACUACCACUUUGUUUCAACAAAUUUAUCUUACGUAUUUGUCCUAGUUCAUACUAAUUAAUUGCUUGGAAUUUAUAGACGCUUACAGAAUAUGAUGCCCUAUUCCUAAAAAAGCAAAAACAAUUUUCAGAUGCUCCUAUUUUCCCACCUUCUUACACACAUCGAACUCCAUGGAAAUUGGCCUUCAUAAAAAUCACAUUCUUAUUUUCCUUUAUUAUAGCUAAGCUGUUGUGAUGUUUUACCCUGGGAUGUUUGCUACUGGCAGAAACCAUAUCAUGUGUUUUCGAUAUUCAUGUUUUCUUUCGUGAGCUUUCAGUAUGUAUGUGCAACCGAAAAUUAUUUGCCAAUAACUCACUUGUUAAUUCUUAAAUUUUAUUGUGUGUUGGUAGCAGAGUUGGUGCAGAACAAUAAACUUAGCCAUUAAUUUAUGAGAAUUCUUUGCUUCACAUGAUACCAUCUGUUCAAUACUCUUACAACAAAUCCGUAAUAGCAAGGUCAUAUAUAAGUAAACAAAUUACAGCUAAAAUCAUAGUACGUCCUUCAAAUGAUAUCGGUUACCAUGAAACUAUUUAUCGUGUCUCUUAUGCCCCAAAUUGCCAUUGCACCUUCCUUUGUCAGAUAAAUAAUGGAAACAUCAUGGUAAAACUGUGACCAUAAAGCUACAGAUCUUCAUCCAAACAAAGAUGAACUGGGAAUUAGCACAUUGUUGCCCAAAAAAUAGACCCGGUUCAGCUGCGAGGUCUUUUUUUGUGGGUAAAAGGAACAAGACUAUGAUGAGCAAAAACACAAAGACAUGUGACAUCAAAAUAAUGCUGGCCAACACAAAUCCGGUCACAGAAACAACAGCAAAGCAAGACCCCAGCUAGCAACACCUACAAGAUUUAUAUCACUAAAUUUUCUUCUCCUGGUGAAAGUUACUUCAUGCCUUAAAACAAACAGCAUUGGAGGCUUAGCAAACAGCGCAUAGGUCACACAUGGUUCACAAUUUCAAUCACCGUUCCAUUACAUAAACAUCAUGACAGAUAGAUCACUACCAAAAGGAAUGCAUACUGCCUCCCCAACUCAGCACACCUGACUAGAGUCCAUGCAACACCUAAACAUAACUAGACAUGGAACCAUAACUAGACAUAGGUAUAUAUACAUAGCCUUAUGGAACACCUUAGAUACACAUCCUUAAACGCUGCGUUGUAGACACCUGCACAAGUACAGACUUACUUAGACCAGGCAAUAAAAUAGCAAUCCUUGUGCAAACUAAACGCAUGGUGCAUGUACAUACCUUCUAGAUCUUGUGAACGGUGAAUUCUGGUUUCCCUUUGCAAGCUCGAACAGAGAAAACACAUAUUUCCCCUUUUGUCAGCUUUGCUUCCUCUGCAAAGUCACUCCAGUUAUGUGUUAUGGCGGCCCUGUUGUCCACGCCAUUAUUAAGGCGAACACGUCUUGCACACAGACCAACUGAUAGCUUGAUCUUCACCCCAUCAACUGGAGUGGUAAUGAAAUCCACCAAAUGCUCUUUAGUGAAGGAAGUACAGAAGUACUACAAAAACACAUCAGAGCUAUAGUCAAAUGAUAUGAUAGGCUAAUACGCUGAUGCAAAUGUAAGUACACUAAAAAAAGUCAUACCAUUCUCUGCCCAGCCUUGGUAAAGGUUUUGUUCAUCUCACAGACGUAGUGGCCAAUAGCAGGCUUAACUGACUUAAUAUAGUGGCUGAGACGCUUCCGAGCACACAUUGACAUCUUCAAAUUCUUUGAAUACAUCCAUCUACCAUUAGAGUCUGGAUUUUAGCCUGCAACCAAAACCAAACAGAUUGAUUUGAUUCAGCCAACAAACAGCAGAAUCAGUUAAUCAUGAGCAAGCAACGCUUACCAACUGUGUAGUGUUUAGGACAGUCACACACGGACAUGCAUAGCUUCCAAGGCUUCUUUACCUUCAUCCGCUUAUGCACUCCUACAUAAUUGAACAAGCCAAGAAAGUAUAAGUGCAAAGGAUUACAAUAACUGGCACGGUUAUAUGCAAGUUAGGCUCUGAAUUUAAAAAAGCAUUCCAAACAAAAAUAACCCAAGACUGGAUAGUUUCAUCAUUGCUGAACAAAUAAAAUAGCAGAGAUGGUAUUCGUCUUAUGAUGUUAUUGAUCAUAUGGAGAUGUAUAACAUCAUGCCAGCAUAGGUUGAUCAUUCGUCGCCUUCACGAUGCUAUACAUAUGUCACGCAAACAAUAAAAUACUUACUAUACAUAUACAUACGUCCUCCAAUUUCCAUAAAUUAUAACAAAUAGUUUUCAGCCAAGAACAGAGCUGGGAGCAACAAAAAUGACACAAUUAAUCAAAGCAUAAACCUAAGAAUAGGUCGCAAUGUUACAUAGUGCUCAAGGAAUGUUCAUCCCGCUACUUUUGCAGCCUAAAAACAUUCUCUGUAGUCUACUCUCCUCCAUUUGUUGCCUAUCCCAGUAAGUACAUGGCAUGAGGGUUGAAUAAUGAAUAUAUGUAGCUAAAAAGACAAAGAGUUGAGGCAUCUUAAAAUAUAAAAAGGAAACCUAUACAAUAAAUGUGAUGAAAGCCAGCAAAACUGAUACUUCCAUCACAAACUAUAUCGCAAAUUGAGAUCAUAUAACCACUGUUAAUGAAUCGGACCUAAAAUCAUACUUCCAUCACACACUAUAUCGCAAAUUAAGAUCAUGUAACCACCAUUAGCAAAUCAGACCUAAAAUCGUGUCGGCCAGUUCGGUCAUACAUAUAUUUAAUACCAGGUUUUGAGAAUAACAAUAAGCUAUUAACCACACCAAAGUACUGCAUGCCUUUCUUCUGCUUUAUACAAACUAAAUUUCUCUGAAAUCCUCACAAUUCCUGUCAGAGCUCCUGCCUUGAAUGUGAAAGCUUUCAUGCCUUUCUUCUACUUUAUAUAAACUAAAUUUCUCUGAAAUCCUCACAGUUCAUGUCUGAGCUCCUCCCUUGAAAGUGAAAGCUUUCAGUUCUAGAAUUUGUGGCUCGAAGUACAUGCAAUGAAGCUCCAGGAUACUGAGAUGCACGUGUGAAAAAGUACCUUUAGAAGAGGUGGUAUGGGCACCUUCAUCAAAGCUCCUGUAUGAAUCUUCGUCAGAGCUCGUGUAUACACCUUCAUCAGAGCUGGUGUAUACGCUUUCAUCUGAGCUGGUGUCCCCGCCUUCAUCAGAGCUUAUGUGCCUUCCUUCAUCAGAGCUGAUGUACAUCACUUCAUCGGAGCUCAUACGCAUUCCUUCAUCAGAGGAGCUAUCAGCACACCCAUCUGAGCUGCUAUUCGAGUGUUCAUCAGAGCUACUGUCAGUGCUUCCAUCAGAGCUGAUAUCCACAGGAUCGGUUCGAGAUCCCCUCAUGAGCCCCCGUCGCAGGAACCUACAAAAUGAUGGAUCUUCAAUCAAAACAAUGCCGCCAUUGAAAUAACCACGGCGAUUUACUUCCCUAUGGGCACAUCCCUAGAUAUAAAAAAUACAACUCGGGAUCUAUCAUGCCUAAAAAAGGAGACAGGAGGGGUGGAAAUCGACACAUAAAUAGGUGAGACGCAAGUUCCAGAUAAGUCAAAGCUAAAUCCAAACAUGCAGACAAAUCCAAAAUCAGAACAGAGCUGAAAUCGCACCGGGCGGCGGCUUCGGAGACGCCUCUGACGCCGAACUGAAGAGACGAGGAAGAAAGGGGAUACACAGGCUCGCUGGAUCCACUCGCUGCCGCUUCAUAUUCAGCUCUUCACGGGCCACGACUGUCGCUAUUCGUCGGCCGGGCUACAUAACAUUGGGCCAUCGAAAUACUUAUCUCCAUAUACACAGAACAAAAAGGUGUUUCUUUUUUUUCUUUUGUUACUCACAAGAAAAGGUCUUUCUUUUCCUUCACGUAAAAAUACAAACAUUUGCAAGGCACGGUUCUGUUUUUCCAUUUACUAUUACAUCUACUUCAAUUCCUCUUACAGAAGCCAGUAUUCAUUUAUUCAAAGAGCAUCGUUAUUUCAUAUUUGUGACAUAACUAAAAAGGUAUUUACCUUUCUGCGAGGCAUUGGCCAUCCUACAUGACUUAGUGCAUCAUUUCCAACCUACUGUACUUACUGCAUAUAAUAUAUGAGCUAUUCUUUUCGAACAACAAUAUGUUAACGCAUACUCUUACAAUGAUUUGCUUACACUCGGCCUUUGCGCCAUUGGUGCAACGGGUCAUCUAGUGGGGAAGAAACAGUGCUGCUCUUGUAGCCAAAGGUAGUUUUUCUUACGGCUGUCGGUUGCAAUUUUGGGACACGGAUGAUAUGAAGAUUGAAUUUUGGAUUUAUUUACUUUUCGAUAAAUAUUAAUUGGAGUUUGUCGUUGUUCUCGGAGUCAAAUGAUUCCAACAUAGAGGAUUUUCUUUUCGACGACAAUGUUGAACAACUCGUCUUCUUGCAACUCGUCCAAGAAUUUGAGGCCGACAAGAAGAGAAAGCGUCGAGGAUCAACGGUUGGCCGUCUUUGCAUUCCACGGAACUGAGCUCUCAGCCAUUCCUUACUCAUGAAAGAUUACUUCCUGAGGUGCUGACCUAUUCGGCUUACCUCUUCCAAAAGCGUUAUCGAAUGCGCAUAUCUCUUUUUGUUCGCAAUGUGGAAGCUUGCGAGCAAACUUGUCAGUUUUUCACUCCCCAGAGGAAUGUCGCUGGUUUGCUUGGGUUUAGGUUAUACCAAAAGAUAUCGGCAGCAGUGAGAGUGAUAGCAUAUGGCAUUCCGGCUGACAACACUGAUGAGUAUCUUCGCAUUGAAGAAGAUACCACGCUCAAAUGUGUGUGGUGUUUGCCAAAGGUUUGACCUGUGUUUUUGGUCCCAAGUAUCUCCGAGCUUACAAUGAGGACACAAAGAAGUUGAUGGUGGUAAAUGAAGUGAGAGGGCGGCCGAGAAUGCUUGGGGGUGUGGGUUGCAUGCAUUGAAUUUGGAAAAGAGUGCCCCUACAGCUCGGCACGCGUAGUACACCGGCCAUCAUCGUGGUCCCACUACUGUGCUAUAAGCCAUGGCUUCAAACGACUUUUGGAUUUGGCACUGCUUCUUUGCUUUGCCGGGUUCACUCAAUGAUAUCAAUGUAUUGCAAAUAUCACAUUUUUUGCUCGGCUUGCCAGUGUAGAUGCUCCGGCUUGCGACUACACCGUCAAUAGACAUGACUAUACCAUUGGAUAUUAUCUUGCCGACGAUAUCUAUCCUUCGUGGUCAACAUUUGUGAAGACCACUAGUAAGCCAAAAGGCAAUAAUCAAAAUUAUUUUGCUCAAGCACAAGAAGCAUACCCAACGGAUAAUGAGACGACAUUUGGUGUGUUCCAAGCUCAGUUUGCCAUUGUUCGAGAUCCUGCUCGCUUCUAGGAUAAGAAAUACCUCUCAAAUAUCACAAUGUAGGGGUCCAGAAGCCUCAAAGAUCAUAGUAUCUUUGGUCAGCACAUUUAAUUCCAACCUCGCAUUGCAUGAGAUGAUAUGUGUAAAAACACUCGCACAAUGCAUUAAUGGUAAUAGCAAUAACAAAAUUCGGUUGGCAAUAGAUAUUGAACGGUGUGCCAGUUGCAAGGCUCCUGCCACACCUGGACUUGCACAGUUGACAUGAUGGUGUCGUCAUUUUCCUAUUAGUGAAGAUACUUAAUGGCUAAAAUAGACUACAAAAAUUCGAUUGUGCACAAAAGCAUUCAUCGGAUUGUACACAAAAUCAUAUCAAUCGAUGAUUCAACACUAAAGGACUAUAUAUCAUCUGAUCGUUUCUAAACUAAAAACUAUUCUACACUCAACAAUUUCUACACUAAAUACUCUAUUAAAGUUGGAUUCUACACAAAAGCAAUCAGAUUCUACACUACUAAAAUUUCUACACAAAGCAACCCAUGGAUUCUAUGCUACUAAAUCGGAUCCUACUAAGUAUAAAAUCUAAUCCUACACUACUAAAUCGGAUUGCACUAAGUAUAAAUCCCGAUUCUACACUACUACAAUCGAAUUCAAAGGAACAAACAUUGGAUUCUAAAUCACUAAAAUCAAAUUCAAUACUACUUAAAUUCUACAAAAAUCACCUUAUUCCAUGAAACCCAUGGAUUCCAUGGUGUCCGCGGAUGAAUGAGGCGCGAGGGGAGUGGUAGGAGUGGCACGAGGGGAGGGAACUAAACCUGCUGCUGACGGUGUGGCGAUGAGCGUGCAUGUAGGUUCGGCGACGACGAGCGGCAAGGUUCGAAGCUGGUUGCGGUGGAUGGACGAGGGAGUGCGUGAAAAUGAAAUAGAGAAGAGAGGUCCCUAGUUUUUUUUACUGAGGAAGUGAAUUGAGAUGGACCAGUGGUGGCGCGAGCCUAAAACGCCACGCCAUAACUAAGUAUAACCCAAAUAAAAAAGACUAAGAAUAAUAAAAGACAAAAUAUAAUAAAAGGCACAAAAUAAUGAAAAAGAUACAAAAUAAUAGAAAUAAUAAACAAUCAAAAUAAUAAAGGACUCAAAACGAUAAAAAGAGUCAAUAUAAUAAGAGUAAAAUACACCGGAGAUCCUAAAAUAUCAAGUGCAUCAAGUAGGUCCUAAAAGUUUGAAACCAUUUGCCGCAGGUCCUAAAUUUGUGUAAGUCAUUCACCGUGUGUCCUAAAAGUACUCAAAGUGUGUAAAGUAGGUCCUAAAAGUCGCGGGUAAAAUACAGAUAAAGGAUUAAAAAUAAUAAAAGACUCAACAUAUAAUAUAAAAUGUUCACUGUUUACAAAUGAUAUUAUUACUUUAAUAAAAGUAAUAACAUUAUUUUUUCUAAUAUAAUUACUCAAUACUUAAAACACAUGAUAAAAAUAGAAAAUUAUUUCUGGCAUAAUAGAAGUUUGCACGCCAGCACUAGACUAAUUAACUACGGCGUGCAUAGAAAUCUAACACACCACCAUCUUCCAACUGGUCAGUACAGAUGGACUCAUCAAUUCUGGCGUGUUAAAAAAAGCAACGCCAGCACUAACAUUAUAAAGCUGGCAUCCAAAUAUGUUAACGCCAUCAUUAUUUUAAAAAAGAGUGGUGACAUUGAUUGGAAAUGGCGCGCCACCAACUAAAGUUAUGACUAACAAUUUCUCUACUAAAGUUGUGACUAACCAUUUCCCUACUAGUGCCCGCCAUAUAACCAUUUCAAUUUUAUAUAUAGUAAGGAAGGUGUUUAAAAACAUAUUUACUAUAUCCGGGAUAGUCUAAGAUUUGAGCAUGACACUUCAAAUGGUGUGUAGACAACACUGAAAAAAUUGAACGAAAAAUGAUGUAAAAUAUUUGAGUUUUGUGUGGUAGGCGAUGAUAUCUUUGAAACUCUGAUACUUUGUCAAAGAGUGUUCAGUUUGUACACGAACUGCAUCAAGUUUUUGUCGUACCGCUCUCAAACUUUUACCACACCAUAUGGAGGUCCUAUGAUGCCACCAUGCCAAGUUUCACCCCAUUCCGAGGUCAUUUCCACGUGGUGUUGAACCAAAGAGCGUUUGCCUUUUUUAGUUACUAGAAAAUGAAGUAAUAAUGUUUUGAAAAUAGCAAACCAACUCAUAAAGUGGUAGAAUUUGAGAAUGACAUUUCCCAUGGUGUGUAGACAACACAAAAAAAGUUUGAGCGAGAAAUGAUGUAUAAUUUUGUUUUGUGUGCGGUAGGCAGUUGUUUUCUGUUCGAAACCCUAAUACGUCGCUGGAGAAUGUGUAGUUUGUACACGAGGUGCAUCAAUUUUUUAUUCUAACAGUCUCAACAUUUUACGACGCCAUGCGAAGUUUCAUCCGUUCAGAGGUCAUUUGUGUUGGGGAACGUAGUAAUUUCAAAAAAAAUCCUACGCACACGCAAGAUCAUGGUGAUGCAUAGCAACGAGAGGGGAGAGUGUUGUCCACGUACCCUCGUAGACCAAAAGCGGAAGCGUUAGCAGAACGCGGUUAAUGUAGUCGUACGUCUUCACGAUCCGACCGAUCAAGUACCGAACGCACGACACCUCCGAGUUUAGCACACGUUCAGCCCGUUGACGUCCCUCGAACUCCGUUCCAGCCGAGUGUUGAAGGAGAGUUUCGUCAGCACGACGGCGUGGAGACGAUGAUGAUGUUCUACCGACGCAGGGCUUCGCCUAAGCACCGCUACAGUAUUAUUAAGGUGGACUAUGGUGGAGGGGGGCACCACACACGGCUAAAAGAUCAAACGAUCAAUUGUUGUGUCUCUAGGGUGCCCCUGCCCCCGUAUAUAAAGGAUCAAGGGGGGAGGUGCGGCCGGCCAGGAGGGGGCGCGCCAGGAGGAGUCCUACUCCCACCGGGAGUAGGACUCCCUCCCUUUUCCUUUUUGGGUUAGGAGAAGAGGGGGAAAGAGGUGGAGGAGAAGAAGGAAAGGGGGGCGCCGCCCCCCUCUCCUUGUCCUAUUCGGACUAGGGGGAGGGGCGCGCGGCCCUUGCCCUGGCCGCCUCUCCUCUUCUCCACUAAGGCCCACUAUGGCCCAUUAACCCCCGGGGGGUUCCGGUAACUCCUUCGGUACUCCGGUAAAAUCCCGAUUUCACCCGGAACACUUCCGAUAUCCAAAUAUAGGCUUCCAAUAUAUCAAUCUUCAUGUCUCGACCAUUUCGAGACUCCUCAUCAUGUCCAUGAUCACAUCUGGGACUCCGAACAAUCUUCGGUACAUCAAAACAUAUAAACUCAUAAUAUAACUGUCAUCGAAACGUUAAGUGUGCGGACCCUACGAGUUAGAGUACUAUGUAGACAUGACCGAGACACGUCUCCGGUCAAUAACCAAUAGCGGAACCUGGAUGCUCAUAUUGGCUCCCACAUAUGCUACGAAGAUCUUUAUCGGUCAGACCGCAUAACAACAUAUGUUGUUCCCUUUGUCAUCGGUAUGUUACUUGCCCGAGAUUCGAUCGUGGGUAUCUCAAUACCUAGUUCAAUCUCGUUACCGGCAAGUCUCUUUACUCAUUCCGUAGUACAUCAUCCUGCAACUAACUCAUUAGUUGCAAUGCUUGCAAGGCUUAAGUGAUGUGCAUUACGGAGUGGGCCCAGAGAUACCUCUCCGACAAUCGGAGUGACAAAUCCUAAUCUCGAAAUACGCCAACCCAACAAGUACCUUUGGAGACACCUGUAGAGCACCUUUAUAAUCACCCAGUUACGUUGUGACGUUUGGUAGCACACAAAGUGUUCCUCCGGUAAACGGGAGUUGCAUAAUCUCAUAGUCAUAGGAACAUGUAUAAGUCAUGAAGAAAGCAAUAGCAACAUACCAUAAGAUCGAGUGCUAAGCUAACGGAAUGGGUCAAGUCAAUCACAUCAUUCUCCUAAUGAUGUGAUCCCGUUAAUCAAAUGACAACUCUUUGUCUAUGGCUAGGAAACAUAACCAUCUUUGAUCAACGAGCUAGUCAAGUAGAGGCAUACUAGUGACACUCUGUUUGUCUAUCUAUUCACACAUGUAUUAUGUUUCCGGUUAAGACAAUUCUAGCAUGAAUAAUAAACAUUUAUCAUGAAAUAAGGAAAUAAAUAAUAACUUUAUUAUUGCCUCUAGGGCAUAUUUGCUUCAGUCUCCCACUUGCACUAGAGUCAAUAAUCUAGAUCACAUCGCCAUGUGAUUUAACAUCAAUAGUUCACAUCAUCAUGUGAUUAACACCCAUAGUUCACAUCGUCAUGUGAUCAACACCCAAAGGGUUACUAGAGUCAAUAAUCUAGUUCACAUCGCUAUGUGAUUAACACCCAAAGAGUAAUAAGGUGUGAUCAUGUUUUGCUUGUGAGAGAAGUUUAGGCAACGGGUCUGCCACAUUCAGAUCCGUAUGUAUUUUGCAAAUUUCUAUGUCAACAAUGCUCUGCACGGAGCUACUCUAGCUUAUUGCUCCCACUUUCAAUAUGUAUCCAGAUUGAGACUUAGAGUCAUCUGGAUCAGUGUCAAAAUUUACCCUUUACGACGAACCUUUUGUCACCUCCAUAAUCGAGAAACAUAUCCUUAUUCCACUAAGGAUAAUUUUGAUCGCUGUCCAGUGAUCUACUCCUAGAUUACUAUUGUAAUCCCUUGCAAAACACAGUGUAGGGUAUACAAUAGAUCUGGUACACAGCAUGGCAUAAUUUAUAGAACCUAUGGCUGAGGCAUAGGGAAUGACUUUCAUUCUCUUUCUAUCUUCUGCCGUGGUCGGGCUUUGAGUCUUACUCAAUUUCACACCUUGCAACACAGGCAAGAACUCUUUCUUUGACUGUUCCAUUUUGAACUACUUCAAAAUCUUGUCAAGGUAUGUACUCAUUGAAAAAACUUAUCAAGCGUUUUGAUAUAUCUCUAUAGAUCUGUAAGCGCAUCUAGUGCCCCUUAGUGAUUUUGGUGUAUUGAAGACUUAUAGGUUAAGGGACUAAUGUGUUUAUGAGUGUACACAGGUCUAUAAGUCUAUGAGGAGUUUGAUAUUUACAGAGAAAGUUGACCCCUAAAAAUGAAGUUCUUCGACUGAAGACUUUGGAUUUCUGAAGACUUUAUGAAGACUUUGAAAGUGAAGAAAUUGGUGUGACCUUGAAGACUUGGUAAUCAUUUGAGGAACAUGAAGCGUGAAGACUUUUGUUUUCGUAGUUUCAUUUUCUCUUUCUUGAGUCAUAGGAAACACCGUACUGUUAAAGGGGGUCGAUGAAAUACUAAGGAAAAAUUUCCAUGUGAUGCUGAACUCAAAAUCCUACACCUACCAAUCCCUUCGAGUGAAGCCAUUGGAAAUCUCAUACAGUUCAGUCAUAUUCUUCAGUGACAGAGAUGAAGCUCUUCUGGUCUCUGAGGAAUCUGUUCUGACUGAGGAGUUAGGAAUUCAUCAGUGCGGAUUGCCUACACAGUGAGGAACAUGAUAGCCCUGAGGAAUUUGAGCCUCAUAUUUCCGACUGUUGCUGUGCUACGCGCCAGCUGUCCCAAAAUAUCUUAUCCACCUAACGGUCAUAUCAUUGAAGGGCAUUUAUGUCUUAUCAUGUCGGGCUGCUCCCUAGGCUAUAAAUAGUCGCACCCUACAACCACUAGCUGGUUGGCUGCUCCGAGAGAAACUGACAUUUGUCAUUUGAGAGCAUCCCAUCCUCCGAGGACUUUGAGCGAAAAUCAUCAAGUGAGGAAAACCCAAACCCAAACACCUACAAACCCAAAGUGAUUGAGCAUCACUGAAGAGAUUGAUCCUGCGUGGAUCCGACGCUUUUUACCUUUGAAGAUUGUGCUUCUUCCAGACGGUUAGGCGUCAUGGUCUAGAGCAUCCAAGAGGAAUUGUGGAUCGCCGAGUGACCGAGUUUGUGAAGGUUCGGAAGUCACCUGAAGACUUACCACGAGUGAUUGGACAAGGUCUGUGUGACCUUAGUUCAAGGAGAAUACGGCGAGGACUAUGUGGUCCGGGACUGUGUGUCCUCAGUUUAAAUACCUAGCCGCUCCAACCAGAUGUACAACUGAGACAACUGUUGGAACUGGUCUACCAAAUCAUUGUCUUCACCAAGCUUACUGGUUCUAUUUCAUCAAAUCUUUCAUUUCCUCAUUAUUGUGUUGUGUGCUUGUCAUAUCUGUGUUUGAAGACUUUGACAGAAGACUUUCUCAAUUUCCUCAGUUCAAUUUCUUCAUUCUGUUUGUCUUCAUCCUGUGCUAUCCUGUGUUUACGCUUUCUGUACUCUGAGUUUGUCUACAUUUCAUCAUGAUGACCAUGCCUAUGUUCUGCUAUGCUUACUCUUGAGUACUUAUUCCGCUGCAAGUAGUUCUUCGCUAAGGAAUUUCCUCACCCGCAAAUUCCUCAGUGAAGACUUCAUAAAAAUCGCCUAUUCACCCCCCUCUAGUCGAUAUAACGCACUUUCAAUUGGUAUCAGAGCAAGGUACUCCCUUGUUCUGUGUGAUUUUGGUUUAACCGCCUAGAGUUUUAGUUAUGUCGACCGCGGAUAUGAAGAAAGUGACAUGCCCCAUCUUUGACGGUUAUGAUUAUCCCAAGUGGAAGGCCAUGAUGAGGAAGCGCCUCAUGGCACUGAACAGCGAGCUGUGGACCAUCACUGAGAUUGGUCAUACCGAUCUAUGCAACAUGUCGGACACUGAUGAUAUUCGCAAGUACACUCGACUUGACAUCAUGGCGAAGGAUAUCAUCUGUUCCUGCCUAUCCAGAGAUGAAUUCAGGCGCAUUAUGCAUCUUUGCAAUGUGAAGCUUAUCUGGGACCGAAUCUCUGACGUCUAUGAAGGUCAUCAAACUUGUCAUGAUCCCUGGUUUGAGGAUUUCGAGGAAUCACUCAAAACGAUGACUUUCGAACCUGAACCAUCAUCUUCUGCACCAUGCCUCAUGGCAAAAGGUGCCAAGGUAACCGAAUGUUCCUCAUCCGAGUCUAGUGAUGAUGAAUCUGAUGAUGAUUUUGGACCUAGCUAUACCAAGCUUGUUUGUAUUGCCACUAAACAACAAAAGGCCUUGGAAAAGGUUCAAAACAUGCUAGAUAAAAGUGAUGAUAUGUUGGGUGAAGAAAUGGAUCGCACUAAAACCUUGACUGAAAAUCUUCAGAGACUUCAGUCUAGAUUUGACAACCUUCAAGGUCAUCAUAACACUCUCUUAUCUGAUCAUGAGAAGCUUUCUUAUGAAUUUCUUCAGAGAAAGCAAGAUCUUGAAAAGCUAAGAGUGAGUUAUGAAGAUCUUCAGAAGGAGCGCGAUUCAUUACUUGCUCAACAAAUCAGCACUGCUCAGGAAGAAUUUGUUCCUCCAUGUUUGAAAUGCAUUGAACGUGAAUCUGUAAUUCUUCACCUGAAUGUUCAAAUGCUUCUAAUGCUACAAAUUCUUCAACUGUCUCUGCUAUCACUAACUCCUCAUCUGAGGACAUUGCUAGUACCACUGACGAUGCAGGGCUGAAGGAAUUGUACAUGACAGGCAUGUACAAAAGCCUCAAAGGGCAUCAGACUCUUUGUGAUGUGCUUAAAAAGCAGAUCCUCAACAGGAACCCUAGGAAAGAGGGUAUUGCCUUUGAGAGGAAACUCAAUGCUGAUGGUACAUAUUGGAAGCCUGAGCAGUACCCCAAAACCUCAUGGGUUGCUGGAAAGGGACCUCCAGUUGAUCCAUCUAAUUUAUCUGGCUUUACAUGUGAAUCUUCUCAUUCUUCUGAUGAGUCAUUUGACUCCAACUAUAAACUGUUUAAAAAUCAGAAUGGUGAAGUAUUUGCUAGAUAUGUUGGCACUAACUGCAGGAACGGUUCUCCUAUGAAGAAAAUCUGGGUUCCCAAAAGGUGCCUUGAAAGUCUUCAGGUGAAUGUCCUCAUGACACCACCUGUGAAGAAUAGGAACCCCAGAUCAAAUUCUUCAUAUGGACCAAAUUCUUCAUAUGGAUCCAAGUCCUCAUACGGAUCGAAUUCCUCACGUGGAUCGUAUUCCUCAAAAGGAUCAAAUUCCUCAUAUGAACAUCAUCGUGCUAACAACUCUGUUUCGCAGGGAAGAGCCAAGGGCUAUGAAUAUGAGCAUUAUUCUUCUAAUCAUUAUGUUCAUAAGUCCUCGAAGAAUUUCUCUGCUUAUUCAUAUGCUUACCCUAACUCCUAUUAUGUGAAACGAAAUGGAUUGGCUUCUAUGCCACCUUUCUCGUAUGGAGCUCGCAGAGUGAUGAACUCUUUGCCACCCCUUCAGAUGUGGGUGGUGAAGAAAAAGGACUAAUCUCUUAUGCAGGGUCAGGUCUCCAGACGUGCUCAAAUGUCUGAAGAAUUUGCUGGAGACCUGAAAAGUGCCUGAAAGGACGCAGGCUAAUCAUGAAGAAAUGAACUUUCAUUUCUCACGUCCUCAUACUGUUUUAACUGUUGCAUUGCUUGAUGAAAUUGGUCUGAUGAAUUGUGAUGUUAUAUUCUUCACUGAUGAAGUAUAUGAAGUUCGUAAGCUGCACUAAUUCAUCUGCAGGAUGAUCAACCCAAAGCCACUGAGUGGGUCCUCGAUAGUGGAUGUACAAAUCAUACAUGACUGGUGACAAGAAUCUAUUGAUGGAUGCUCCCUUAUCACCAUCGCAUCUGAAGCAUAUCAUCUUCGCUGACAAAGGCAAAAGUCAGGUAUUGGGUCUAGGUAAGGUUGCGAUCACAAAGGAUCGACACAUGGACAAAGUCAUGCUUGUCGAGUCCUUAGGAUACAACCUCAUGUCUCUCUCAAUGCUUUGUGAUCUUGAUAUGGUUGUUGUGUUUGGCAAGUAUCGUUGUGUUGUGGUUAUGGAAGCUGACAAUUCCAAAGUCUUCGAAGGCUUUAGGAGAGGAGACUUGUAUAUUGUUGAUUUCUCUACAGGACCGCAACCAGCCGUGUGCCUACUUGCAAAAGCUUCAGAAGGCUGGCUAUGGCAUCGACGACUUGGUCAUGCAAGCAUGAGGAAUUUGCACACGCUUGCGAAGAAGAAGCACGUCAUUGGCAUUGAGAAUGUCAAAUUCCUCAAGGAUCACUUAUGCAAAGCCUGUGAAGCUGGAAAGAUGACCAAGGCUAAGCAUCCAGCAAAGACUAUCAUGACCACUACUCGACCAUUUGAAUUGCUUCAUAUGGAUCUUUUCGGUCCUAACCAUUACUCAGCAGUCACAAAUGAUGCAUCUCUCUAUGGCUUUGUUAUUGUUGAUGAUUACUCUCGUUACACUUGGGUACAUAUUUUCACUUACAAACAUGAAGUGCAGGAAGUCUUCAAACGAUUUUCCUCGAGGGCUUCAACCAACUUCGGUGUGAAAAUCAAGCACAUCAGGAGUGACAAUGGAACUUAGUUCAAGAAUUCUGGUCUUGAUGACUAUCUUGAUGAACUUGGUAUUACUCAUGAGUUAUCUGCUCCUUACACUCCUCAGCAGAAUGGCGUCGUGGAGCGCAAGAACAGAACUCUUGUUGAGAUGGCUCGCACUAUGUUUGAUGAGUACAAGACGCCUCGUCACUUCUGGAUUGAGGCAAUUUAUACUGCGUGCCACAUCAUCAACAGGGUAUAUCUUCACAAAUUCUUCAAGAAGACUGCCUAUGAACUCCUCACUGACAAGAAACCCAAUGUGAGUUAUUUCAAAGUCUUCGGUUCUAAAUGUUGGAUUAGAGAUCCUCAUCACAAUGCUAAAUUUGCACCGAAAGCACAUGAAGGUUUUAUGCUUGGUUACGGAAAGGACUCGCACACCUACAGAGUCUUCAACAACGUUCUUCACAAGGUUGUUGAAACUGUAGAUGUGCGGUUCGAUGAAACUAAUGGCUCGAAAAGAGAGCACCUACCCUCUGUGAUAGAUGAACCAGCACCUGAGGAAACUAUCAAGUUCAAGGCUACCGAGGAUGUCAUUCCUACCGAAGAAUCUGCUGAAGAAUUCAUUCCAGAACGUGAAAAACGUCGAGCUAAUGCACUUGAAGAAAAUGCUGAAGAAAAUGGUGCUGAAGAAAAUACUGAUCAAAUUCCUCGACGACAACCAGCUCAUCCUCGCGUUGCAAAAGAAGUGCAAGUUGAAAAGAUCAUCGAUGACAUUGAAGCACCAGGUCCUCUCACACGCUCAAAAGCUUCACAUUUAUCUAACUUUUGUGGGCACUAUGCUUUUGUCUCUAUCACAGAGCCCACUAAGGUAGAUGAAGCAUUUCUGGAGCCUGAGUGGAUUCAGGCCAUGCAAGAAGAAUUACAUCAAUUCGAGCUCAACAACGUCUGGGAACUGGUUAAACGUCAAGAUCCUCGCAAGCACAAUAUCAAUGGCACAAAGUGGAUCUACCGCAACAAGCAAGGUGAAAUGGCCUUGUGGUGAGGAAUAAGGCACGACUAGUAGCUCAAGGCUACACACAGGUUGAAGGAAUUGAUUUCGAUGAAACUUUUGCACCUGUAGCUAGACUUGAGGCUAUUCGCAUAUUACUUGCUUAUGCUAACCAUCAUGAUAUCACUUUAUAUCAAAUGGAUGUGAAAAGUGCAUUCCUCAAUGGUAAGCUUGAGGAAGAAGUAUAUGUUGCUCAACCCCCAGGUUUUGAAGAUUCAAAGCAUCCUGACAAAGUCUUCAGACUCAAUAAGGCCCUCUAUGGCCUCAAGCAGGCCCCUCGGGCAUGGUAUGAUACUUUGAAGGAAUUCCUCAUGAAGAAAGGCUUCAAACACGGUUCACUCGACCCUACUCUUUUCACUAAAUCUUAUGAUGGUGAAUUGUUUGUGUGCCAAAUAUAUGUUGAUAAUAUUAUCUUUGGCUGUACUGACCAACAUUAUAGUGAUGAAUUUGCCUAUAUGAUGAGUGAAGAAUAUCAAAUGUCUAUGAUGGGAGAGUUGAAAUUCUUCUUAGGUCUUCAAAUUCGUCAACAGCGCAAUGGCAUAUGCAUAUCUCAGGAGAAAUACCUCAAGGAUGUACUGAGGAAAUUCGUCAUGCAAGGUUCCAAAGGCGUCAAAAUUCCGAUGCCCACAAAUGGCCAUCUGUGCACUGAUGAAAAUGGUAUUGACUUCGGUCAAAAGGUAUACCUCUCCAUGAUUGGUUCUUUAUUGUAUUUAUGUGCAUCUAGGCCAGAUAUUAUGCUUAGUGUUUGCAUGUGUGCCCGAUUUCAAGCUACACCGAACGAAUCACACCAUAAUAGUGUGAAGCAUAUUCUUCGAUAUCUAGCUCACACACCAACACUUGCAUUAUGGUACCCCAAGGGCUCGGCUUUUGAUCUCAUUUGAUAUUCCGACUCUGACUAUGCUGGUGAUCGUGUGGACCGCAAGUCAACAUCUGGUACAUGUCAUUUCCUCGGACGAUCUUUGGUCUGUUGGUCCUCGAAGAAACAGAACUUCGUAUCACUGUCUACUACUGAAGCUGAGUACAUUGCUGCUGGUUCUUGUUGUGCUCAAUUGCUGUGGAUGAAGCAAACUCUCAAGGACUACGGCGUCAACAUGAAGAAUGUGCCUCUCUACUGUGACAAUGCGAGUUCCAUCAAGAUUGCUCACACCCCAGUUCAGCACUCGAAGACAAAGCACAUUUAGAUUCGUCAUCAUUUUCUUCAUGAUCAUGUGUUGAAGGGCGACAUUUCUAUUGACCAUGUGAAGACUGAAGAACAGCUAGCCGAUAUCUUCACAAAGCCCUUGGAUGAGAAGAGAUUUAGCAAGUUGCGGUGCGAGCUAAAUAUCUUAGAAUCUUCGAGUGUUCUUUGAAAAGGACACUCAUCCUAACACUUAUGCAAAAUUGAUGACUUAGAUGUGCAACACAUGAAGAAACGUUUUUCUUCAAUCAAUGAAGAAUAACACUCUAAGUGUGAAGAAAUUAAUGAAGAAUUUGAUUCUCAGAACCCUACGACAAUUGUACGCGGUGUCUGAAAUCAUCAUUCUUAUACGGUGGGUCACGCCACCACCAAAAGUUGAAAAUCUUCAAUUUGAGCUUUUCCUCAGUGAAAUUCCUCAAUUGUUCAUUUUCUUCAACUUUGCAUUGUCUUCACUGUUUCCGUCGUUUUUCUUCAUUGGCUAUAUAUAUAUAUGUUUAUGUCCUCUACAGCAUUCACUUAUGGCUAAUUCUUCAAGUUGUUUUUUCUGCUAAGUGAAUAUGAUCGGACCCUUCGCCCUCUAUGCUAUACUCAACCCAAUCUAUUCACAAAUUCUUCACGUGCGUUCUAUUUGAAACUCGUUCAAAAUCUUCACUGUGUCCUUGUCAGCUGAAGAAUUUGCGAAUGGAACUUUUAACUUAUCUUAUCCAAAUUUUCGGCUUUGCCGCUCAAACCGUUCCGCAUCCCACGAAAUACUUAUUUAUUCACCCACGAUCUCCACUUCUCAGUACGUGGGUGACACAUGUCAAGCGAAUGAGAAGGGUCAGGGGCACGUUCAUCCAAAAUCUUCGGGCGAACAGUUUUUCACCGUGGCUAUAAAUACCCCCUCUCCCCUUCCUCACUUCCUUUACUCCGCUCGACCUCUCUCCAACUCGAGCUUCUCAAACCCUAGCGCCGCCCCUACUUUAUCAUCGCCGGUGAGGAAGAGCUUCACUGCCUCGACCUCGUCGCCGCCGUACUCGCGCCGGCCGCGGAAAUCUUCACUCCACCGCCGCCGUAGCCGUCUUCCUCCGCCGAGUUAGGGCAUGGAAGAUCUGCACAGACGAACUUCUCAUCUCUACCUCACAGUUCGUCGUGUUCUUCGUCCAGGGUAAUUAAAAGUUACUUUUACUGCCCUCUUUGAUUCAAAUGAUUUCUACAAAAUCUUCAAAGGUGUUUAUUCUUCAAAUUCUUCGCACACUAAACACCUCACAUGUCAUCUGUUCUUGAUUCGUUUCUCUAAGAAAUAAUUUUUCUUCAAGAUUCCUCAAUUGUGUGGAUCUUCGAUCUAUACAACUCUGGAACCUAAGACAAAGAACGCUUAGUGAAAUUCUUCAAGACUCAUCUGGUCAAAUUCCUCAAACUUGUUCUUUUUGAAAAACCUUCUGAGAAUGCAUAUGACCUCUCCAAAUUCCUCGCAACUAUACUCUGUUCACAGGUACUCAUGUCCGCUGCUGAAUCUCUAGGUUCUCAUCAACUUAACUCAUUUGCCGCGUUCCUCGAUGAAAAGUUGCAUACUUCUUCAGAGAAUUCAAUUGUUCGAAUUCCUCAUCUUAAGAAAAUGGCUGAUGGAAAGAAGCCACAAAAAGGAGGAAAGAGGCCUGAGGUCAACACUGCAUUUGAAAUCCCUGAGGACAUCUAUGCUGGGUACUGCACACCCCCUGAGGAAGAUAAAAAUCAGCGCAAGGUGCGCAUUCAGAAGAUAGAGAGGAGAUGGGCAAGAGAGUGGAGGGAGUACACGUAUGUGACUCCCAAGUACAUGAAGAAAUUCACACUCAAUCCUCCAUGCCCAAGACCUCCGUUGGCACCUGGCCAAGAAGCUGAUCCCACCAGCCUCAAGCGCGGUGAGGAUUAUCCUGAUGAAUGGGCCAAGCACCAGGCCAAGCUGGCUAGACAAGCCAGAGAAGCAGUGAGGAAAUUCAAUGAAGACUCUGCUGCUGCUGAGGCCUCUGUCAAGCCGAAGAAAUCCAUGGCAAAGAAGCCUGCGCGUAAGACAAGUGCUUCACCUUCAAUGCCCUCAAGGCCAAGUUCCUCAGCAAUGCCCUCACGGCCAGAAUCCUCAAAGCCCUCACGGCCAAUUCCUCACGCUCCUCCUGCUCCUCCAAAAUCCUCAGCUCCUCCGCAUAAGUCCUCAGCUGCUCCGACCAAAUCCUCAGCACCUGUGCAUCUUGCCACGUGCCAAAGAACUACAGGCAUCUCUAUUGCCUCAUGAGCUUCAGCUAGUUCCUCAGCUGCUCCAAAUUCUUCAACAGGACCCUCUCUGCUGAAGACAAAGACCACUACUGGACGAGGUUCUCGCCCAAGUCCUCACAAGAAGCACGUCGCCUUCCAAGUGCCGUCUGAAGAAGACGAAGCUGAUGAUGAAGAACUUGCUGAAAUCAUCAGAGAUAGGCAAGUCAGGGCCGCUAGAGCCAAGGGCACAAAUGUGCCUCUGCUUUUGGAUCCAAAGUUGAUCCUCGAUUACAUUGAUCUCUGGCACAAGGACCCAAACACUCCUAUGCCUGACUUCAUGCUGACUCCUGGCCAAAAUCAUAUGCUGACUGCCUUCAUCCAAGAAGAGAAAUGGAAAUUUGAGAAGGCCAGGCAGAUCAAGAAAGCGCAGUACAGGAAGGAGAAAUUCCUGAAGAACAACGUUGUCUCUAUGACAACUGAUGAUCUUGUGAAGAUCCAGUCUGAAAUCAAAGUCCCCAGCGAUGAUUUCAAUGCUUACUAUGUUGAUUGGCAAGGAGCCAAGGUCAGGUUUGUUAAACUGACUGAGAAGUUCACCUCCAAUGUUGCAGCCCCAUCGCAACAAGAAAUUCCUCAGACUGAAGCAUCUGCUCAGUCAACUGAAGAACAUGCCAGCACUGCUGAUGAUAUUCAGGCUGCUGAAGAAAAUGUGAGUUCCAGGGCUAAUGACUGCAUUCCAACCGCUGAUGAAAUUGCCAGGGCAUUCACUAGUGGUGCGCCUGAAGAAAAUGAAGAGGUCAGGGCAACUGCAUCAGUUGUGCCUGAAGAAAAUCAACCACAUUCCUCUGCUCCUCCCGCGCCUACACCAACUCCAAUUCUUCCAUCUGCAUCAGAUAUGAAGAAGACCAAGGCUGCAGAGCAUGCAGCAGUGAUGAAAAGGAAAGCAUCAGCUUCAUCAGAUUCUUCAGCUCCGAAGAAGAUGAAGAAAUUGACCAGCUCAUUUGCAAACCCCAUUGAUGCUGUUCCGAUCUCAACCAUGCCAUCAAAGGACCUUGUUCCUUUUGAUGAAGAAUAUGUGAUCCCUAGCGGAUCUGAUGAAGAAAAUCCUUCUGCUGCUUCGUCAGAGCAGAUGGAUGAAGAAAUUGAAGUGGAUGAAAUCCCUUCAACUCCAGCUGUUUCCUCGCCUAUGCCUCAGUUUACUGCUGAAGAGGCCGGCGUUGAAGAAAUAGAAGAUGAAGACGUGGACAUUGGCUGUAUCACACCAGUGAUGAAUGAUGACUUUUGGGAAAGUCAGCACCCCAACUCUCCACUCUUCACACCUUUACAGCAAAUUCCUCAGUCCCCUGUUGCUACUGAAGUACAAAUGGGAUAUGAAGAGCCUCGUGCAACCCCAUCUGUCCAUGAAGAAAUUCCAGCCACUAGUGCUGAAUAAAAUGUACAUGAAGAAUUGAAGACCCAGGCUGUCACUGGAGUAGAAGCUGAAAUUCCUCAGCCUGAAGAACCUGAGAUUGCGAUUCCUGAGGUUAUAAUGCAAUUGACUGACACUCCUCAGCCCAAGCCAAAGGAUCCAUUCUCAAAGAAGCAGAAAUUCAAGGCUGAUGAUUUCUUUGGCGAGCACGUGUUCUUCACUGACUACAAUCCCUAUGAUUCUGCUCGUCUUAGAAGGAAGCACUUUUGGACCGCCAGCCAGGCCAACUUCUAUUCUUCACUACUUUUCAAUAAGGACAAAGUCUUCGAUCACGAGCAUAUUCCUCAUGUGGACAUGGAAUCACUGCCAUGCUUCACUCUUGUCCUCAGUGUGCUUCAUGACAUAGGCCUCCUCAACUUUUGCACAGACAUAGUUGAUUGGAAUGAAGAACUCAUUCUUCAAUUGUACGCAACUUUGCACAUCACAGGAGAUCCUGACGAUGUGAACUCCUGGGUUUUGGACUGGAUGACUGAAAAUACUCACUAUAAGGCACCGGCCACUGAAUUACUUCACGCCCUGCCCAUCAGUCCUCCACCUGAAGGAGCUCGUUGCAUGUACCAAGAGCCUGAGCUUACUGAUCACUAUAUUGUAACACCCCAGAUGUAAUUUUCCAUAUUUGUAACUCCAACUCUUGCCAUUUUCGGCUAUGUGUUAUGAUAUUCCCUUUGUGGUCGGGUUUUGUCUUUCGUUUUGCAUUUUGUUCAUGUCAUGCAUCUCAUAUCAUGUCAUCAUGUGCAUCUCAUUUGCAUACGUGUUCGUCUCAUGCAUCCGAGCAUUUUCCCCGUUGUCCGUUUUACAUUCCGACACUCCCACAUGCACCGGCGCACCCCUCUUGUCUCUUUUCGUGAGCGGAUGUUAAACGUUCUCGGAAUGGACCGAGUCUUGCUGAGUGGCCUUGGUACACCACCGGUAGACCACCUGUCAAGUAUCGUUCCAUUAGGAGGUCGUUUGAUGCUCCAACGGUUAACCGAGUAACCGCAAAAGCCUUAUGUGUGUUGCAGCCAAACCCCCUCCAAACAGCCCAAUAACCCAUCUAAGCCCCCUCCAUGCUCUCAGUCGUUCGAUCACGAUCGUGUGGGCGAAAACCGCACUCCAUUUGGAGUUUCUCAGCUCCCUCUACCUAUAAAUAAGUGAUCCCCCAGAUUUUUCGCGCAGACGAAACCCUAGCCCGCUCCCUCUCCGCCGCCGGACGCGUCCGUCCCGCGCCGGACGUUCCCGCCGCCNNNNNNNNNNNNNNNNNNNNNNNNNNNNNNNNNNNNNNNNNNNNNNNNNNNNNNNNNNNNNNNNNNNNNNNNNNNNNNNNNNNNNNNNNNNNNNNNNNNNNNNNNNNNNNNNNNNNNNNNNNNNNNNNNNNNNNNNNNNNNNNNNNNNNNNNNNNNNNNNNNNNNNNNNNNNNNNNNNNNNNNNNNNNNNNNNNNNNNNNNNNNNNNNNNNNNNNNNNNNNNNNNNNNNNNNNNNNNNNNNNNNNNNNNNNNNNNNNNNNNNNNNNNNNNNNNNNNNNNNNNNNNNNNNNNNNNNNNNNNNNNNNNNNNNNNNNNNNNNNNNNNNNNNNNNNNNNNNNNNNNNNNNNNNNNNNNNNNNNNNNNNNNNNNNNNNNNNNNNNNNNNNNNNNNNNNNNNNNNNNNNNNNNNNNNNNNNNNNNNNNNNNNNNNNNNNNNNNNNNNNNNNNNNNCCCCGGUCGCCGGACCCGCGCCGGCGUGCCCCGUCGCCUCCCCGUCCCGCCGGCGCCUUCACCCGGACCGCUCCGGCCAGAUCCUCCUCCUUCCAACUCCGGCGAGCUCCGGCCCCGCCUUGACAUCCGUGCCUGCCCUAGAUCCAGAUCCAAAUAAGGUUGACCCCGAAAAUCCUCUAAGUCCCGAAGUUAUCACAUUAUGUUGCUAUGUUCAUCACAUCAUAUCUCAUUGCAUACUGCUCCGUUUUGUGUGCAUGAUAUACCGAAAUGUUCGUCACGAGAUGCUCUUCAUUUUUUUGUUUGUGCCCUGCUCGUUUGAGUUGAUCUUGAUGCUCAAAUCUCUGGUGCAAGUGUGCUAUAUGAUGUUUACUGCUGUUACUUAUCAGAACUUGAUGGUUUGUUAUUUUUGUUGCAUUUGAUGUGUGCAUCUUAUAGGUUAAGGGACUAAUGUGUUUAUGAGUGUACACAGGUCUAUAAGUCUAUGAGGAGUUUGAUAUUUACAGAGAAAGUCGACCCCUAAAAAUUAAGUUCUUCGACUGAAGACUUUGGAUUUCUGAAGACUUUCUGAAGACUUUGAAAGUGAAGAAAUUGGUCUGACCUUGAAGACUUGGUAUUCAUUUGCGGAACAUGAAGCGUGAGGACUUUUGUUUUCGUAGUUUCAUUUUCUCUUUCUUGAGUCAUAGGAAACACCGUACUGUUAAAGGGGGUCGAGGAAAUACUAAGGAAAAAUUUCCAUGUGAUGCUCAACUCAAAAUCCUACACCUACCAAUCCCUUCGAGUGAAAUCAUUGGAAAUCUCAUACAGUUCAGUCAUAUUCUUCAGUGGCAGAGACGAAGCUCUUCUGGUCUCUGAGGAAUUUGUUCUGACUGAGGAGUUAGGAAUUUGCCAGUGCGGAUUGCCUACAUAGUGAGGAACAUGAUAGCCCUGAGGAAUUUGAGCCUCAUAUUUCCGACCGUUGCUGUGCUACGCGCCAGCUGUCCCAAAAUAUCUUAUCCACCUAACGGUCAUAUCAUUGAAGGGCAUUUAUGUCUUAUCAUGUCGGGCUGCUCCCUAGGCUAUAAAUAGCCGCACCCUACAACCACUAGCUGGUUGGCUGCUCCGAGAGAAACUGACAUUUGUCAUUUGAGAGAAUCCCAUCCUCCGAGGACUUUGAGCGAAAAUCAUCAAGUGAGGAAAACCCAAACCCAAACACCUACAAACCCAAAGUGAUUGAGCAUCACUGAAGAGAUUGAUCCUGCGUGGAUCCGACGCUUGUUACCUUUGAAGACUGUGCUUCUUCUAGACGGUUAGGCGUCAUGGUCUAGAGCAUCCAAGAGGAAUUGUGGAUCGCCGAGUGACCGAGUUUGUGAAGGUUCGGAAGUCACCUGAAGACUUACCACGAGUGAUUGGACGAGGUCUGUGUGACCUUAGUUCAAGGAGAAUACGGCGAGGAAUGUGUGUCCGGGACUGUGUGUCCUCAGGUUUAAAUACCUAGCCGCUCCAACCAGAUGUACAACUGAGACAGCAGUUUGAACUGGUCUACCAAAUCAUUGUCUUCACCAAGCUUACUGGUUCUAUUUCCUCAACUCUUUGAUUUCCUCAUUACUGUGUUGUGUGCUUGUCAUAUCUGUGUUUGAAGACUUUGACACAAGACUUACUCAAUUUCCUCAGCUCAAUUUUUUCAUUCCGUUUGUCUUCAUCCUGUGCUAUCCUGUGUUUAUGCUUUUUGUACUCUGUGUUUGUCUUUGUUUCAUCAUGAUGACCACGCCUAUGUUCUGCUAUGCUUACUCUUGAGUACUUAUUCCACUGCAAGUAGUUCUUCGCUAAGGAAUUUCCUCGCCCGCAAAUUCCUCAGUGAAGAAUUCAUAAAAAUCGCCUAUUCACCCCCCCUCUAGUCGAUAUAACGCACUUUCAAGAUCUUGAUGCUCAAUACGUAAGCAGCUUCACCGAGGUCUUUCUUUUGAAAAACUCCUUUAAAACACUCCUUCAUGCUUUGCAGAAUAAUUCUACAUUAUUUCCGAUCAACAACAUGUCAUUCACAUAUACUUAUCAGAAAUGUUGUAGUGCUCCCACUCACUUUCUGGUAAAUACAGGCUUCACCGCAAGUCUGUAUAAAACUAUAUGCUUUGAUCAACUCAUCAAAGCGUAUAUUCCAACUCCGAGAUGCUUGCACCAGUCCAUAGUUGGAUCGCUGGAGCUUGCACAUUUUGUUAGCACCUUUAGGAUCGACAAAACCUUCUGGUUGCAUCAUAUACAACUCUUCUUUAAGAAAUCCAUUAAGGGAUGUAGUUUUGAAAUCCAUUUGCCAGAUUUCAUAAAAUGUGGCAAUUUGCUAACAUGAUUCGGACAGACUUAAGCAUCCCUACGAGUGAGAAAAUCUCAUCGUAGUCAACACCUUGAACUUUGUCAAAAAACCUUUUUUCGACAAGUCUAGCUUUGUAGAUAGUAACACUACUAUCAGCGUCCAUCUUCCUCUUGAAGAUCCAUUUAUUUUCUAUGGCUUGCCGAUCAUCGGGCAAGUCAACCAAAGUCCACACUUUGUUCUCAUACAUGGAUCCCAUCUCAGAUUUCAUGGCUCAAGCCAUUUUUGCGGAAUCUGGGCUCAUCAUCGCUUCCUCAUACUUCGUAGGUUCAUCAUGGUCAAGUAACAUGACCUCCAGAACAGGAUUAUCGUACCACUCUGGUGCGGAUCUCACUCUGUUUUACCUACGAGGUUCGGUAGUAACUUGAUCUAAAGUUACAUGAUCCUCAUCAUUAGCUUCCUCACUAGUUGGUGUAGUAGUCACAGGAACAGAUUUCUGUGAUGAACUACUUUCCAAUAAGGGAGCAGGUACAGUUACCUCAUCAAGUUCUACUUUCCUCCCACUCACUUCUUUCGAGAGAAACUCCUUCUCUAGAAAGGAUCCAUUCUCAGCAACAAAUAUCUUGCCUUCGGAUCUGUGAUAGAAGGUGUACCCAACAUUUUUCUUUUGGGUAUCCUAUGAAGACGCACUUCUCCGAUUUGGGUUUGAGCUUAUCAGGUUGAAACUUUUUCACAUAAGCAUUGCAACCUCAAACUUUAAGAAACGACAGCUUAGGUUUCUUGCCAAACCAUAGUUCAUACGGUGUCGUCUCAACGGAUUUGGAUGGUGCCCUAUAUAACGUGAAUGCAGUUGUCUCUAAUGCAUAACCCCAAAACGAUAGUGGUAAAUCGUUAAGAGACAUCAUAGACUACACUAUAUCCAAUAAAGUACGGUCAUGACGUUCGGACACACCAUUAUGCUGUGGUGUUCGAGGUGCCACGAAUUUGUGAAACUAUUCCACAUUGUUUUAAUUGAAGACCAAACUCGUAACUCAAAUAUUUGUCUCCGCGAUCAGAUCGUAGAAACUUUAUUUUCUUGUCACGAUGAUUUUCCACUUCACUCUAAAAUUCUUUUGAACUUUUCAAAUGUUUCAGACUUAUGUUUCAUUAAGUAGAUAUACCCAUAUCUGCUCAAAUCAUCUAUGAAGUUCAAAAAAUAACGAUACCCGCCGCGAGCCUCAACACUCAUCGGAUAGCAUACAUCAGUAUGUAUUAUUUCCAAUAAGCCAGUUGCUUGCUCCAUUGUCGGAGAAUGGAAUUUUAGUAAUCUUGUCCAUAAGGCAUGGUUCGCAAGCAUCAAGUGAUCCCAAAAAUCCCAUCAGCAUGGAGUUUCUUCAUGCGCUUUACACCAAUAUGACCUAAACGGCAGUGCCACAAAUAAGUUGCACUAUCAUUAUUAACUUUGCAUCUUUUGGCUUCAAUAUUAUGAAUAUGUGUAUCACUACAAUCGAGAUCCAACAAACCAUUUUCGUUGGUGUGUAUGACCAUAGAAGGUUUUUAUUCAUGUAAACAGAACAACAAUUAUUCUCUAGCUUACACGAAUAACCGUAUUGCAAUAAACAUGAUCCAAUCAUAUUCAUGCUCAACGCAAACACUAAAUAACAUUUAUUUUAGGUUCAACACUAAUCCCGAAAGUAUAGGGACUGUGCGAUGAUGAUCAUGUCAAUCUUGGAACCACUUCCAAUACACAUCGUCACUUCACCCUUAACUAGUCUCUGUUCAUGCUGCAACUCCCGUUUCGAGUUACUACUCUUAGCAACUGAACCAGUAUCAAAUACCGAGGGGUUGCUAUAAACACUAGUAAAGUACACAUCAAUAACAUGUAUAUCAAAUAUAUCUUUGUUCACUUUGCCAUCCUUCUUAUCCACCAAAUACUUGGGGUAGUUCUGCUUCCAGCGACCAGUUCCUUUGCAGUAGAAGCACUUAGUCUCAGGCUUAGGUCCAGACUUGGGCUUCUUCACUUGAGCAGCAACUUGCUUGUCGUUCUUCUUGAAGUUCCCCUUCUUCCCUUUGCCCUUUUCUUGAAACUAGUGGUCUUGUCAACCAUCAACACUUGAUGUUUUUCUUGGUUUCUACCUUCAUCGAUUUCAUCAUCAUGAAAAGCUCGGGAAUCAUUUUCGUCAUCCCUUGCAUACUAUAGUUCAUCACGAAGUUCUACUAACUUGGUGAUGGUGACUAGAGAAUUCUGUCAAUCACUAUUUUAUCUAGAAGAUUAACUCCCACUUGAUUCAGGCGAUUGUAGUACCCAGACAAUCUGAGCACAUGCUCACUGCUUGAGCUAAUCUCCUCCAUCUUGUAGGCAAAGUACUGUCAAAGGUCUCAUACCUCUUGUCGUGGAAUUAACAUGUCAGAUGUCCUAAGUGUAAGGACUUAGUCGUGAGGCCAACGCAUAUAUGUAGUAGCUUGAGAGGGGUUGGUUGGGAUGAGAGACGCAGGGCGGAUCAACGCACAAGACAAGGGUUUAGACAGCUUCGGGCCCCGGGAAACAUCAUCCGGUAACAACCCUACGUGAUGUUUGAGGCUAGGUCUCAUUAUGAUCACGGGAGAGUCGCCGGCUCCGGCUCUCGGUGUUUAGCCCUAGAGGUUGUUUCUUGUUGCUCGUCCCUCUUUGGGGUGCCCUGCCCCUCCUUAUAUAAGCUAGAGGGGCGGGUUACAUGUGGAGUCCUAGUAGGACUAGGACUAGUCUAUCUUCUCUUACAAGUUAAUUACAAGUCCGGGUCUUGCUUCCUUAUAAAGGAAAUAUUCGUCAUCCCUUUCCUUUUAAGUCGGCCCAUCAUAAACGUGAGCCGGCCUUCUGGGCCUUGGGCCUAGUCUUCUAUCUGACCCGCCGUCGGGGUCAUCCGUGAGUCGUCUGGUAGUGAGUCGCCAAUCUUCCGGCGGGUCACGGUGAGGCGCCAAGUCCGGCCGGGUCAUACAUCUGGCCGGGUCAUACCGCGGGGUAUAUCCCCGACAUUAGCCCCCAGUUUAAUUUGGAUUCAUCCAUGUUAAACUAAUCUGCAAUAUAAACACAAGAACAAAUUUGACAGGUUGUGUUCCGGGUUAAAUACUCUUUGUAAGCCGGCACUUGGUCAUCCUUAAGUCCUUGUCAUCUUCCUUCUUGAUAUGUAUCCAUAAUCUCAUAGAAAAUCUCUUUAGCAGAUAUGUUCAAAUUUUGCCAAUGCAAAAAAUCCAGAUACUUCCUUUGAAAAAUCCGGGUCAACAGGCCAGCUUCAGAGUCAACUUGCUGACAUUGGUCUCUUGUUGAGAAAUAUUGUAAGAGAUAAUCCACUUGAGUCGGCUUUCAAUGCUCUGACUUGACAAAAAUAUUGGUCUUCAAAUAUUCAACUUAUAUUCAGCCGGCUUAAAGAUAUAAAACUUGCCGGUUUAUGAGUACCAAAAUUGUCGGAUUAUAAAUAACUGAUGCCAAGUCAUAAUUGUCGCCGACGCCGGUUUAUGAUUUUUGCAGACACCAGGUCAAUCUGAUUUACUCAAAACUGAGAAUUUGAAGAUAUUUUCCCCUUAUAUCCAUAUUACCUGUAGCCCCCAAGGGCCGGUUUAAUCAGCAUGAAUAAGCCGGGACUUAUCACCAUGGCUUUAAAUAAAAUCCAGUUGUGUAGCCCCCAUGAGUCGGCUAUAGUCAUAGUAGUGUAGCCGGGUCAUCCUAGAAUUAUCUUGAAUUGUUUGACAGGAGCAAUUAGUAGUCCCCAAGGGCCGGCUCAUUACGAUGUGAUGAGUCGGGUCUUCAAUGAGGUGAGCAAAAAAUGACUUUGCAUUAGCCCCCAAGUGCCAUGGUGCAUGCUGGCAGUGACAUGGGACUUGCAUAUUUGAUGUAAUAUCAAUUUGAAUAAUGUAGCCCCCAAGUGCCGGGUUGUAAGCCUGCAGCGACUCGGGACUAUUCCUUUCAUUGUAGAAUAAAUCAUAUCCAUUGAUAAAAAUAAUAGCCGUUGCGCUAAAGCGACUUUGAAAACCUCAAUCAUAACACUGGUUAUUGAUAAUCACAAUAGAAAUCCAGCCAUGAUGGCUAUUCAAGAUUUGAAUAAUAUAAUCCGGUAUGAAAACCUCAAUCAUUCAAUAUCAUUAUGAAAGUCCAGCCAGUUUUGGCUAUUAAAGAUUUGAAUACCUCAUCGGUUGACAAGUAAAUCCAGAGUUUAAAUACCUGGCGGCUCAUGGCCGAUGACGACUUAAUGCGGAUUCCUUAUAAGCCGGAAUUUUUGUAAUCCGCUGGCCUAUAUCCUUUGAGAAAAUCAAUAAUUGAUAACCCCUGCACAUAAUUAGAUCACAAGAUCCCUUGGCGGUUUACCGCAGGGCGGGUCAUAAUAUCUCACAUAUAACCACUGUGAUAUUGAAUUUGUACUGCCGGUUUACAUGACCUGUGCAGUAAGGGUGAUAACCCAAUCCUUAGAAGCCAAUGCUUCCACAUAGAUGAUGAUUGCCGUAAGCUGGCGAUUUAUCAUUGAAAAUCAAGCCGGGUUAAAUAACAACCACUCAUAUACACUUUAGAUAUGAAAAAGAGCUUCAAAUAAAAUCCAAAAAUUGUUUGCAAAAAGAGACUUCAAAGUUUUUGAGACUUCUGAUUCGAAUACGAUCAGAAAACCAUCCCAAAGGGGUUAAGCUAAGAUUCGAAUACGAUCAUAUAGCCCCCAGUGGCUUUGGCGUUGCCGAUCAAGAGGGUACCGACAGCUAUGUUCUCUUUGGUUCGAAUACGACCUAUGUUUGAACAGGAAGCCCCCAAAUGACCUUGAGAGUUGUUUAACGACGCUGAUUCGAAUACGAUCCACGUCGGUUCCCAAAGGGGUUGAGCUAUGGUUCAAAUAUGACCAAGAAACUCCCCAAUGAGCUCGGCAGUGUGCCGAUCAAAAGGGUAUCGACAGCUAUGUUCUCUUUGGUUCGAAUACGACCUAUGUUUGAACAGGAAGCCCCCUAGUGAUCAUGAGAAUAUUUAACGACUCUGAUUCGAAUACGAUCAGGGUCACACCAAAAGGGUUAAGCUAAAUUCAAAAUACGAUCAGCUCCCAAUGGUCAUUAAAGCAGGGUACCUAUAUUUGAGUUGUGCUUUGUAACAGACUCUCUUUGGUCCCUUUAAUUUUUCCUGAGAACUCGAACUUUGCGAGAGAUAACCUCUUUUUGAACCGGAAAUUUGUAAACCGGAUAUUAAGAGCUUCAAAGCUUUAUUAGAUACAAAUUUACCUUGAGCCGGACGUUUGAACCAGAUUUGAGAGCUUCAAAACUUUGCGGGAGAAAGAUAUCUCUGGAACCGGAUUUUAAACCGGAAUCUUUAUUUGAACCGGCAAUUUUCUGACGGCCUUUAAAGUUUCAUCAACAUGGUAGCAGCCUCCGGAACCGGGUUAUCAUUCCCUCCAACGACCCGGGGUUCCCGAGUCACGUCACUGUAUCCCUCCAACGACCCGGGGUUCCCGAGUCACGUCACUGUAGCCCCCGAGUCUAAAGAUGACUCGAGGAGUUGGCUUGAGAUUCUCCAUAUUUAACCGUGAUAUAAACCGGCAUAACUUGUAUAUUAUUGGUGUUGAUAACACGAUGUGUAUCCACAGAAGGUUGAGGUGACUCCGGCGGGUUAUAAAUGAUCCCGUAUGAGCCGUGUCAGCAACUCGGCCAAUGGUUCCUUCCAACUGGCUGUUCGAAGUUAACCAAACUGUAGUGGCGGUGACUCGUGCGCCUGCCCAUUGAACCAUCCAGUGCAGACGAUGGCUGAUAAUAUACGAUAAUUUGCCUCCAGUUUAUUGGAAGAAAACCGGGCUUCCCAAGUAGUGACUUGCUCAUAAUCAAUAAAUAACUCAUGCAGACGGGUGCGGCUCGAUGCGUUGAUGUAGACCAGGCCGCGAGAGACGGAUGGAAAAGACGACCGCCGCGUCAGAGGCAGCUCAAACAGAUGAUCCGGCCGUGGCAUUGUAAGCCGGCGCGGAUGAGUGACUUUAACCACAUCGUUUUGACGUAGUGAACAAUUGUCCUGCAUCAACACUACUGAUGUGCCAGGCCGGAAAUAAUCCGCCAUGAAAUUAAUGUCUGCUAGGUGAAGUUGAAGUCGCUCAUGGGUGAACCGGCCGCGGCGUGGUAAACCGGUGCAGACGAGUGAGUCGACCGUGGCGUUGUAAGCCGGCGCAGACAGCGAGUCGGCCAUGGCGUUGUAAGCUGGCGCAGACACGUGAACCGGCCGCGAGGGCGGACGGGCGAGUCGCCCGUGGCGUUGUAAGCCGGUGCAAACGGGCAAAUUGUCCUCCUCGUUGUAAACCGGCGCGGUCGCAAGAAACGGCCACGGCGUGGUAAGCCGGCGCGGUCGCAAGAGACGGCUACGGUGCUGUACGCCGGUGCGGGGUCCGUUGAAUAACGAAGACCACCUGUGCCAAAAGAUGUUGGCGUGCCUCCAUCUCCGCAGUAUAGUAUCACUAUUUGUCAUAAAUAAUUGCCCUGCAUAAACAAUAUUGCAGAUCAAGGCAGAGAUAAGCUUGUUCUUUUGACAAAACAACAUGUGCUAAUAAAACAAACUUGGAUGUAUAUCACCUGAUUUGUUUGGACGACGUAUGAUCCGUUUAUCGUGAUAGAGGCGGCUCAGGCAGACCGACAACUCCAUAUUGCCCGGGCGGCUCAACAUGGCAGAGGCGGCUCAACACAGCAGCGAAACGGAGGCAUCACCAUGGCGGCGGCUCAGAAACUGCAGCGGCAGCGCGUUUGAGACGGCGGAGGCGGCGACUUGAACAGCUUGACACGAACGCGAGACGACCCGGGGGCAGGCGGCGGCUCAUCGUGUGACGGCGGCAGAGACGCCCGGCCGGUUCAUCGGUGGAGAAAGCUCGCAGGUGGAGCAGCUAUGAUUCAUAUAGUAUCUGAAGACCACCAUCGAUCCAAUGAUUAUAUCACAAACUAUUGCGGCGAGGUGGCCAGCGCGGGACUCCAGCGUGCGACAGGUCGCGGGGGUUCGAAUCCUGCCUGCGCGGAAAAUUUUCUAGUGUAGCUCAUCUGUUCUCAGAUGAAAUUACUAUACGGUCUUGAUUAGCAGUAGCAUCAGGGAAACAACCAAAGUAGCAUGCUGAUUCGGUUUUACUUCUUCAUGAAUACAGAUCGUAGCAUUCCUCCAAGAUGUAUUCCUUCAGUAUUUGUACAUGAGGAGUACUAGUUGAGAUAGUACUAAUUGGAGUGCUUGUCUGAUCCGGUCUUUACUUCACAUCGAGAUUUUUAGCAGGUCCCCUUGGGACGUGAGACAGCCGCGCCGCAGAGCGACUCUCAGGCGUGGCCUGGCGACUUGGCCGCGGAGGAUUGAGAUGGAGACCCGCAGAGGCAGAGGCGGUGACAGCGACUCGACGACGCAGGGCCACGGGGCGAGCUUUGGCCAUGGCGGCUCAGAGGCGACGCCGGUCAACGGAGGCAGUCCGACGAGUCCGAGUCCACGCUGAAGUAACCAGCCAACUCAGAUUUGACGUGUCUUCUUCAGAAGUCUGUCCGUUUCGGCGACUUGUAAAAAACAAUUAAAUAAAUCAUAGGAAGGCCGGGGCGGAUCGACUGUAACCCUAAUUCUUUUUCAACUUCAAUCUCAUGGAUUGUAAAAUCUUCAUCCGAAAAAUUGCAAACUCCUCGAUCCUUGGGGAGAUCCCUUCAAGAACUCAUCACCACCGUGCGCAUGCCCCACGGUGGGCGCCAACUGUCGUGGAAUUAACACGUCAGAUGUCCUAAGUGUAAGGACUUAGUCGUGAGGCCAACGCAUAUAUGUAGUAGCUUGAGAGGGGUUGGUUGGGAUGAGAGACGCAGGGCGGAUCAAUGCAGAAGACAAGGGUUUAGACAGCUUCGGGCCCCGGGAAACAUCAUCCGGUAACAACCCUACGUGCUGUUUGAGGCUAGGUCUCAUUAUGAUCACGGGAGAGUCGCCGGCUCCGGCUCUCGGUGUUUAGCCCUAGAGGUUGUUUCUUGUUGCUCGUCCCUCUUUGGGGUGCCCUGCCCCUCCUUAUAUAAGCGAGAGGGGCGGGUUACAUGUGGAGUCCUAGUAGGACUAGGACUAGUCUAUCUUCUCUUACAAGUUAAUUACAAGUCCGGGUCUUGCUUCCUUGUAAAGGAAAUAUUCUUCAUCCCUUUCCUUUUAAGCCGGCCCAUCAUAAACGUGAGCCGGCCUUCUGGGCCUUGGGCCUAGUCUUCUAUCUGACCCGCCGUUGGGGUCAUCCGUGAGUCGUCUGGUAGUGAGUCGCCAGACCCGUGAGUCGCCAAUCUUCCGGCGGGUCACGGUGAGGUGCCAAGUCCGGCCGGGUCAUACAUCUGGCCGGGUCAUACCGCGGGGUAUAUCCCCGACACCUCUCGACACGGGCAUGAGUAUGAAAUACCAAUUUCAACUCUUGGAACAUCUUAUAUGCUCCGUGGCGUUCAAAACAUUUUUGAAGUCCCGGGUCUAAGCCGUAAAGCAUGGUGCACUUAACUAUCAAGUAGUCAUCAUACCGAGCUUUUGUCAAAACGUUCAUAACGUCUGCAUCUGCUCCUGCAAUAGUUCUGUCACUUAGCGGUGCAUCAAGGAUAUAAUACUUCUGUGCAACAAUGAGGUUAAUCCUCAGAUCACGGACCAAGUCCGCAUCAUUGCUAUUAACAUCUUUCAACUUAGUUUUCUCUAGGAACAUAUCAAAAUAAAAACAGGGGAGCUAAACGCGAGCUAUUGAUCUACAACAUAGAUAUGCUAAUACUAUCAGGACUAAGUUCAUGAUAAAUUUAUGUUCAAUUAAUCAUAUUAAUUAAGAACUCCCACUUAGAUAGACAUACCUCUAAUCAUCUAAGUGAUCACGUGAUCCAAAUCAACUAAACCAUAACCGAUCAUCACGUGAAAUGGAGUAGUUUUCAAUGGUGAACAUCACUAUGUUGAUCAUAUCUACUAUAUGAUUCACGCUCGACCUUUCGGUCUCAGUGUUCCGAGGCCAUAUCUGCAUAUGCUAGGCUCAUCAAGUUUAACCUGAGUAUUCUACGUGUGCAAAACUGGCUUGCACCCGUUGUAGAUGGACGUAGAGCUUAUCACACCCGAUCAUCACGUGGUGUCUGGGCACGACGAACUUUGGCAACGGUGCAUACUCAGGGAGAACACUUUUAUCUUGAAAUUUAGUGAGAGAUCAUCUUAUAAUGCUACCGUCAUUCAAAGCAAGAUAAGAUGCAUAAAAGAUAAACAUCACAUGCAAUCAAUAUAAGUGAUAUGAUAUGGCCAUCAUCAUCUUGUGCUUGUGAUCUCCAUCUCCGAAGCACCGUCAUGAUCACCAUCGUCACCGGCGCGACACCUUGAUCUCCAUCGUAGCAUCGUUGUCGUCUCGCCAAUCUUAUGCUUCUACAACUAUCGCUACCGCUUAGUGAUAAAGUAAAGCAUUACAGGGCGAUUGCAUUGCAUACAAUAAAGCAACAACCAUAUGGCUCCUGCCAGUUGCCGAUAACUCGGGUACAAAACAUGAUCAUCUCAUACAAUAAAAUUUAGCAUCAUGUCUUGACCAUAUCACAUCACAACAUGCCCUGCAAAAACAAGUUAGACGUCCUCUACUUUGUUGUUGCAAAUUUUACGUGGCUGCUACGGGCUUAGCAAGAACCGUUCUUACCUACGCAUCAAAACCACAACGAUAGUUUGUCAAGUUGGUGCUGUUUUAACCUUCGCAAGGACCGGGCGUAGCCACACUCGGUUCAACUAAAGUUGGAGAAACUGACACCCGUUAGCCACCUGUGGGCAAAGCACGUCGGUAGAACCAGUCUCGCGUAAGCGUACGCGUAAUGUCGGUCCGGGCCGCUUCAUCCAACAAUACCGCCGAACCAAAGUGUGACAUGCUGGUAAGCAGUAUGACUUGUAUCGCCCACAAAUCACUUGUGUUCUACUCCUACAUAUAACAUCAACGCAUAAAACCAGGCUCGGAUGCCACUGUUGGGGAACGUAGUAAUUUCAAAAAAUUUCCUACGCACAGGCAAGAUCAUGGUGAUGCAUAGCAACAAGAGGGGAGAGUGUUGUCCACGUACCCUCGUAGACUGAAAGCGGAAGCGUUAGCACAACGCAGUUGAUGUAGUCAUACGUCUUCAUGAUCCGACCGAUCAAGUACCGAAUGCACGGCACCUCCGACUUCAGCACACGUUCAGCCCAAUGACGUCCCUCGAACUCCGAUCCAGCCGAGUGUUGAGGGAGAGUUUCGUCAGCACGACGGCGUGGUGAUGAUGAUGAUGUUCUACCGAUGCAGGGCUUCUCCUAAGCACCGCUACAGUAUUAUCGAGGUGGACUAUGGUGGAGGGGGGCACCGCACACGGCUAAAAGAUCAAACGAUCAAUUGUUGUGUCUCUAGGGUGCCCCCCGCCCCCGUAUAUAAAGGAGCAAGGGGGGAGAUGCGGCCGGCCAGGAGGGGGCGCGCCAGGAGGAGUCCUACUCCCACCGGGAGUAGGACUCCCUCCCUUUUCCUUGUUGGAUUAGGAGAAGAGGGGGAAAGAGGUGGAGNNNNNNNNNNNNNNNNNNNNNNNNNNNNNNNNNNNNNNNNNNNNNNNNNNNNNNNNNNNNNNNNNNNNNNNNNNNNNNNNNNNNNNNNNNNNNNNNNNNNNNNNNNNNNNNNNNNNNNNNNNNNNNNNNNNNNNNNNNNNNNNNNNNNNNNNNNNNNNNNNNNNNNNNNNNNNNNNNNNNNNNNNNNNNNNNNGCCGCCCUGUCUCCUUGUCCUAUUCGGACUAGGGGGGAGGGGCGCGCGGCCCUUGCCCUGGCCGCCUCUCCUCUUCUCCACUAAGGCCCACUAUGGUCCAUUAACCCCCGGGGGGUUCCGGUAACCCCUCCGGUACUCCGCUAAAAUUCCGAUUUCACCCGGAACACUUCCAAUAUCCAAAUAUAGGCUUCCAAUAUAUCAAUCUUCAUGUCUCGACCAUUUCGAGACUCCUUGUCAUGUCCGUGAUCACAUCCGGGACUCCGAACAAUCUUCGGUACAUCAAAACAUAUAAACUCAUAAUAUAACUGUCAUCGAAACGUUAAGCGUGCGGACCCUACGGGUUCGAGAACUAUGUAGACAUGACCAACACACGUCUCCGGUCAAUAACCAAUAGCGGAACCUGGAUGCUCAUAUUGGCUCCCACAUAUUCUACGAAGAUCUUUAUCGGUCAGACCGCAUAACAACAUACAUUGUUCCCUUUGUCAUCGGUAUGUUACUUGCCCUAGAUUCGAUCAUCGGUAUCUCAAUACCUAGUUCAAUCUCGUUACCGGCAAGUCUCUUUACUCGUUCCGUAGUACAUCAUCCCGCAAAUAACUCAUUAGUUGCAAUGCUUGCAAGGCUUAAGUGAUGUGCAUUACUAAGUGGGCCCAGAGAUACCUCUCCGACAAUCGGAGUGACAAAUCAUAAUCUCGAAAUACGCCAACCCAACAAGUACCUUUGGAGACACCUGUAGAGCACCUUUAUAAUCACCCAGUUACGUUGUGACGUUUGGUAGCACACGAAGUGUUCCUCCGGUAAACGGGAAUUGCAUAAUCUCAUAGUCAUAGGAACAUGUAUAAGUCAUGAAGAAAGCAAUAGCAACAUACUAUACGAUCGAGUGCUAAGCUAACGGAAUGGGUCAAGUCAAUUACAUCAUUCUCCUAAUGAUGUGAUCCCGUUAAUCAAAGGACAACUCUUUGUCUAUGGCUAGGAAACAUAACCAUCUUUGAUCAACGAGCUAGUCAAGUAGAGGCAUAGUAGUGACACUCUGUUUGUCUAUGUAUUCACACGUGUAUUAUGUUUCCGGUUAAUACAAUUCUAGCAUGAAUAAUAAACAUUUAUCAUGAAAUAAGGAAAUAAAUAAUAACAUUAUUAUUGCCUUUAGGGCAUAUUUCCUUCAAUUUGCAAAUUAUGUUGAACCGAAGAGCUUUUGCACUUUUAGUGGCCAGAAAAUGAAGUAAUACAUCUAAAAUAGCAAUCCAACUCAUAACGUGACAAAUACGAUGGCGGCGGUGGUAGCCAUAGAUUUGUCAUUUUUGCGCCGGCAAUGGCACGGAGAGGCUCAAAUCUAGGUGGGAGAGGACCGCGGUGGGGCCUAUGGAGCGUCCGCGGUGGUGAGGGGCGGGAAGGAUGUCGCCGGCGUAGAUGCAAUGAGAGUGGGGUGGGUGAGCCAACUAGGGGAGGGGAUUUUUUUUCUCCAGCGGUUAGCAGCCCAGUAAAUAUAGGCGCCACAUAGGAGCCAGAGUAAAGAAUUUACCACUCUAUUCGGUUUAGGGAAUCGGCCAGGUGCCGGUUAGAGAAGUAAAACCGAAUUUUUAAUCUAACGUCGGAUAGGGGAUCGACUAGAGUUGGCGUAAAGCAUUACAAACAAUUAUAACGGAUCGGUUAGAGAUGCUUUUAGAGCAUCUCCAAUAGGUGGUCCAAAUGUAAAAGUAACUAACUUUUCGAUCGUCUGAGACGAAAAACGCAGCUUCAACAGACGGUCCAUAUGUAAAAAAAUAGAUCGCGGCCUCCUCGUGAUGUAAAAUACAACACCUCGCGGUGCAAAUUUACAUCACGAGGUGCAUCUGGUCCAAAACCAGCCGCCGCCCGCGAACGCCCAACCGCCAGUUCCUUUCCUUUCCCGCCCACCCGCCUGUGACCUCCCGCCCGUCCGCCGCCGCCCCGCCACCGCCCCGCUGCCUCCACACCCCGCCGCCGCCCCCCGCCAUUGUUUGCACGCCGCCCNNNNNNNNNNNNNNNNNNNNNNNNNNNNNNNNNNNNNNNNNNNNNNNNNNNNNNNNNNNNNNNNNNNNNNNNNNNNNNNNNNNNNNNNNNNNNNNNNNNNNNNNNNNNNNNNNNNNNNNNNNNNNNNNNNNNNNNNNNNNNNNNNNNNNNNNNNNNNNNNNNNNNNNNNNNNNNNNNNNNNNNNNNNNNNNNNNNNNNNNNNNNNNNNNNNNNNNNNNNNNNNNNNNNNNNNNNNNNNNNNNNNNNNNNNNNNNNNNNNNNNNNNNNNNNNNNNNNNNNNNNNNNNNNNNNNNNNNNNNNNNNNNNNNNNNNNNNNNNNNNNNNNNNNNNNNNNNNNNNNNNNNNNNNNNNNNNNNNNNNNNNNNNNNNNNNNNNNNNNNNNNNNNNNNNNNNNNACCGCCCCGCAUGCCGCCGCCGCCCCGCAGCUCCGCCCCACCCGGCUCCGUCCGCCACCGCCCCUCAGCUCCGCCCCGUCCGGCUCCGUUUGCCACCGCCCCGGCCGCACGCCGCCGCCGCUCCACCGCUCUCACUGCUCUUCGAUGGCGCCGAGGAAGACGCCGAAGGGCAAGUCGGGCUUCUUCGGUGUGAGGCAGAAGCCCUCCGGUAACUUCGGAGUGGAGUUCUCCAACGCCGGGAGGCAUUGUGGAUCGACAUGUACCCCUCCGCCCACGAGGCCGCGCGUGCCUAUGACGUGGCGGUGUGGCGUGCCGAGAGGCCUCGGGAGCACCUCAACUUCCCAGAGAUCGAGAGUCGGCGGAAGGGGCGGAAGCGGAGAUGCUUGUGCCGCAGGGCAUCAGGAUGAAGGAGAUCCCGACGAAGAAGAAGACGACGAAGAAGCCAUCGGUUGUAGUCAGUGCCGGCGAGACCGGCGAGGAGGCGAUGGCGAGGUUUGCUCGGGAGCAUCCGGAGUACGUCCAGGCCGAGCUGGAGUACUACUGGAAGCAUGAGGCGGAGCAGAAGAAGAAGGGGGUGAAGAAGGAGGACGAGGCAUCGACUAAUUGGUAUUCGAAUGAGUUUCUCUGUAAAUGUGGACAAGAUUUGUAUCAUAAAUAUGAAAACAGAGACAUGAUACAGUAACAGCAAGCAAAUUGCUGAGUUAGAACAGAAGAGAUGGAAAAUACUGCUGCUGCAAGUCAGACAAUACUUUCAUUGUUGCGGUUUGUACAAAUCCUGAUGCAUGAAUUCCACAAACACUGUAACCUAAUGUACAUAAAAUUAUUAUUGACCUAAACCCUGAAAUCAACGCGCGCAUGGACGAUCGAUCGGUUGCAUCUUGCGCAAUCUGACGUAGCUCUAGUGCUGAAGCCCAUCUUCGACGAUGAUGAGUUCCCACCGGACAGUGAAGCAAUCGUCCUUGAGAUGCUCGGGACCUUUCGAAGGCCUCCCUCGAUAUGUACCUGGGGGAGCCGAUGCAGACUCUGCUAGGCACGUGAGUUAUCGGAUUUGUACCAACAACUCUAGGAUCAUGAUAUGCAACCUGGUCGACGAAAGUGAACAGGGCGUGCACUUUCAGAGGGCGCGUGACAUCCUGGAUGAGAGUGAAAGAGAGAGCCAUGAAAUCGGCGUCCUCCGGGACUCUACCAUUGGGGAAGAUCUCGAUUACCCAACGAUAACCGCCCAGCAUGAAUGGGGAAGACUCUAUUGCCAUGCCAGUUGGUAAAUCUUUGGCGCGGGAGUAGCCGACGACCUCGAACAGGUGGAACUCGCUGGGCGCUUCGGCUCCGGCAGCGGCAGCGGCAUCGGCUGUUGCCCAUGCCGGCGACGGCAUGGGCGCAUGGCGAGCUACUUUGUGCCUGACGGAUAUAUACGGUGACUAAUGGAUGUUUGCUAGAGUUUCUUUUCUCUCUCAUCCAACUGAUUCUAUAUAGAGUAGCAGUGUCAACCCUGAUUUGCGGAUUGGUUUGUUUUGCCUUUUAUUUAGCUGAUUUGUUAAGAUACGGUCCUCAUAAACUUAGAACAGACAUCUCUCGCAAAAAAAAGAAAAAAAAACUUAAAACAGUCGCCCACCUCCCCGUCGAGGGCGCCAUGCGACCAUUCCAAGACUGAGCCAGUAAGUUCUUCCACUCAAGGGCUCAAGCACGGCCCAUACCCGAACGAGAAUGGUAUGAGAUUUCUUCUACUCCCUCUGUCCACUUUUGUAAGUCGCUUAAUACUAGGUGAUGUCUUAAAUAUUUUGUGUUAAUGUUUUUUGAGAAUGAUAUCUUAAAUAUUUAAAACGUCUUACAAAAGUAAACCGAAGGAGUACUUUUUUUAUUUUUUGAGGAAGUUCUAUAAUCUGCACUCAACCUUAAUAGAACGACACGAUAGCGUGGGACCAAAUAGAACAAUAUGAUAACAACGCCUUUGGUUAGCAUCUCUAGAAUAUCCGGAAAUAUGCCCGGGCCGCUAUAAUAAUCACCGUUUUUAGGUAUCGGGGCGAAAAAUGUCGCGUGCAGGUCUUAAAAAAUAGCCCGUCCCAAAAAAACAGGAGUAGUGGUAUAUUUUGGCCCGAGCGCCGCAUGUCUAGUUUUUGGCCCCUCUUUAGCCGUUUCCAAAUAGCUAGAAAAAUUUUGCGGGGUGAAAGUUUCAGCUCACGCCCUCCAUUUCGUUGCGGCGUCUCGCCUUCGGUUCCUGCUCCCCCGACCACCCUGCAACGUCGAGUAGCUCCCCCGUUGUCCGACACAUCUUUUCCAUCAAUUCGGGACCACACGGGUGGCCAUUCCAUCCCCACGCGCAUGGCCGCCGCGGCCAUGGACCAGUUGUGGGCUCCACGCGAGGUACCGUUGUAGCUGGAAGAGGGUGCUCCAGGCAUGCUGACCGCGGAUUUGUGCUCGCUGCCGCCGGACCCGUCGGCGCCGCGGGUUUGGUGCCGCGCAUCCGUGGGGAAGUAAGGGUUUUUAAGACCUAGUUUAUAAAAUUUGAUUCUACAAUGCAAAGACUCAUAUAUUGAACAUAUAAAGCCUCCUAGAGUACCCGCUUAACCAGCGCCAUUGCGGUUUGAAAUUGAUCCUGCGCGUUCGAUUGGCCUCGCUGGCUGCGGUAACAGUAGUUCUCGUCGGGCUGGUAAAGAUCCCGCCGCCCGUUUUCCUGUACGUCCGGUGAUAGGCCCAGGAGCAGCUGACGAGUGGGCGACCCUUGCGCGUGGGGCAUCGUUGCAGCGACACGCUCGGUGCGUGUUUCGUUCGAUGAAAAGCAGGGGUGGGUCGGUGGUGGGUUGUGCCCGGUGGAUCGUGGGCUGUCAGGAUUUUUUUUACCGUCAACCUACGCACCCGCCAGCGGCGUCUCCGCUUUAGCCGCGCCUGGCCCCAUAUGCCGGUCUCUUGUGUGCACCCUGCUCUGGUCAUUGUUGUUCCUGUGGGUGGCUCCGCUCGGCCCGCUAGGUAAAGGAGGGUUUUCAGCUGCUGCGUGCUGCUACGCGGGCUUGCCUGCCCUUCUCUCACUGGAGGUGGUCCCUUCUUAUCCUUGGUCCCACACGUCGGGAGGUUUGGGUUUCUUCUUAGGUAUAUGUAAAAGUAACAGCGCGUGGGAGAAGCAUUCUUGACCGGGUUCGUGGUUUCCUUCUGCUCUCCCUGCCUCUCUGCCUCCUGUCUCGUCCCACUUCCCCCCGCCUGCGCCUCUUCGCCUUACUCUCGUCCGCCAUCCAGCCACCAUUGUCGCUCGUUCUCGUUGUUCAUCGGUCAUCAACGGCUCGCUCGUUGUCUGCUUACCCCGUCGUCGGCUUGUUUCGGCAUGGCUCCUCGCGCUGCUGCUGUUGUGUUUGGUUAGGGUGGGUUUCUUGUUCAAUUUGGUCGAUUUCUGCUGCUCUCAUCGUAGAUUAAUGUGUUCUGACUUGUUCUUGUGUGUUCCUUCCCUGUUCUUUUAUUUACAGGGAUGCUGCAUCUGCUUGUGCGUGUUCCUCUUCAUUCUUUCCGAGGUGAGGUUCUCCCCUGCUUUACAAGUGUUUGAUGAAAUGCGUGGCUGGGUUUUCCCCGGUUUGAGAUCAAUCUUUUGUUUUCCGAGCCAUGGAUGAGUGUUUGUCAGGUUAGAUCUGUUCUGUGAUGCGUCGGUUGUUUUGUUUCCUAGCCCUAGGGAUUGGCUCUGUUAAUUUACAUGGAUGAGUGCCUGCCAUGUUUGAUCUGACGUGUGAUGCUUUCGUUGUUGCCGUUCCUAGACCAACGGAUUAGCCCUAUUAGUUUAGGUAUGUUUUGGUUGCGCUCUUGUCUUCGUCUCCGUUAUGGUUAUGUCUAGGUUGGCAUGGGUUCUAUUGCAGGUGAUUUCUAAUUUUGUUUCUUCCUCGGUUGUCUAGGCUUUAAUUCUCCUGACCGUCUGGCCUGUGCAUGUGGUUUAAUGCUUGUGCCUUUCUGAAUGGAGCUUGUUUCUGUUCAUUAAUUAUUUGUCUGCUGCUGGUAGGCAUGUGUGUGCUCAGGUUGCCAUUGUUCUUUGUCUGCUGCUGGUAGGCAUGUGUGUGCUCAGGUUGCCAUUGUUCUUUGUCUUUCUUCUUCCAUCCUAUUUAGUCUAGACCCUACUUUGUUUGCUGGAGAGUAAAGAUAUUGCAAAGGGCUGCUCGGUGGGAGGCGAGCCCAUGGCCUUGUGCGCAUUCGCUUAUGUUCGUUCCUUUUUUUGGUGUGCUGCAGGUCUUCCUCUGUGACGUUUGGCUGCUUGGUCGCCUGGUUUUCACGCCCCCGGUUCGCCAGAUUUGUGCUGUGGGUCAGCUCACAUGACGCCUCUCGCUCCGUCUUCCGGCUUGGCAAGGUUUUGCCUCCUUCCCUGGCUUUUGCUUUACUGCAUUCCUUUAGAAUUUAGUCUUUUAAUUGAUUCUAAUCAUGUGUGUUACGUGCGUUGUGCUGUUCUGUGCUUCUAUUUACUAUUGUUUAUUGUUCAUUGUUCCUUGUGGCUCUCUUCCUUGUUUGCUCUCGGGUGCUGUUUCUUGCUUAUAAUUCGGUCAUUCUUUUUCAUGUCCAGGAUGCCUGCUAUGGUAUCCUUUGUUUUGCCGAUCCUAGAAACUGUCAUGGCUCAUUAUGAACUUCCUCCUCCUAGCUAUCUGUGUGAGGUCGAUGGGAAUGCCGAUGUCCUUGCUGGGGUAGAGGUUGAGGUUCCUGGGGAUGGUGUGUUCGAGAUGCCACAGAGAGUUUUCUUUUGGAGUCCUGCGUGUCUGGGUUCUGCAGAGGCGUAUGAACGGGCUGCUCUUCAGGCAAUUAGUUUUUUGCAGGGACUGUAUGGAUUUGUAGUUAGAGAUUACAACUAUGACUGUGUUGUUGUCUAUAGGAAUUAUGGAAAGGACGCGGUCGCUGUUGCUGCAUCAGCUGUUCGCUAUGCAGCUUAUUUGGAGAGGAUUCUUGCUUGCACGCGCUCGUCCGCCGCAGACCCAUCUAGAAGAGUGUUCCAUGCCCCGGCCCGGCCACCUGCAAAUCUAGUGUUGCUGUACUCAAGCCUCCUAGCAUAUGUUUCCUUUAUUUAGUCAGUCUGGGAUGUUGUUAUUGUUCCAUUGUCUUGUUUAAUUGAUGGUAAUAUUGUCCUCACCGUCCUUGGGUUUGGUUCAUAAAUUUGAAUUCUGUUGCCAUGUCGAUAUCGCUGCCUUUUAUGUUUUAUAAACUGGGCUUGUCUUGUUUAAUUUCCAUCAACCCAACUUCAAGAUUUUCUGGGUGUUUGUUUUCUUUUUUGUUGCAGCACUAUGUUGUGUAUUUUCUCGUGCUCUUAGUCCCUUUGCUCGUGGUAUGGCUCUGCGUCGGGCUGUGUCCUCACGUUCUGCUGCUCCUUUGGGGAGGCCUCCUGCUUCGGGGCGUGUGGUUGCCCCGCGCAGGGCUACUCGUGCUGCUGCUGCAUUGCCUGCUGUCCCGGCCAGCUCUGCCAUUCCCCUUGUUCGGAAGAGGAAGCGUAUGUUCUGUUCCGCUUGUCCACCUCUGAAUUCAAUUGCAUGAGUUUUAGUAGCCAGCAUUUGGUUCCUUAGCAUUCUCUCUCUUUUCUAUAUCCAUAGGAGAUGGCUUCUUUCCUUUCCUAUCUUCUAUUGAGAGUGCACGGAAUCGUAAGAGGUGCAAGUUCUUGUUGAAAAUACUACGCGCUCAUAACAAGGGUGGUCAGUUCGUAUUUCCUUUAGUUGUUCAUAGGUUUCUUCUUUUUUGUUAUCUGGCAUGUUAGUGUCUUCUUAUGGUUUGCACAGAGCAUACCCUUGCGUCGCCUCUGCAUCCUGAUUGGGUUGGGUUUUCUCCUGACGAAGUGGGAAUACUUAAAGGUAUGCCUGUGUGCUGUUAUCAGCCAUAUUGCUUUCUGCCUUCCCGGUGUCAUUUGUCCUUACUAGAUACGGUUCUCCUACAGCUUUUUAUCCAAAAAGGUCGUACUAUGGAGGUCCAGACUACCGAUGCAACCGCUGCCAGGCUAGCUUUUGGUGGCGCGAGAGGGUUAAGUCACAGUCUGCUAUCACCAAAAGACGAGUGGCCUACAACAACUGUUGUAAGGCUGGGAAGGUCUUCGUUAAACCCUUUGAAAAACCACCUCCGUUCUUAGCAGAUCUGCUUGAUUAUAAAGGCCCAUCCCGCAGCUUAAAGUUUAUUAAGCAAAUACGCCAGUACAAUUGCCUGUUUGCUUUUACAUCUAUGGGGGCAAAAAUUGACCGAUCUGUAAACGAUGGUGGAGGUCCAAAGAUUUUUAAAAUUAAUGGUCAGGUCUGUCAUCGUAUAGGCUCGCUGCUUCCAAAUGAGGGUGAUUCUCCCAAAUAUGUAGAGUUAUACAUACAUGACAGAGAAAAUGAGGUUAGCAAUAGGAUCGAGGCCUUAAGUCAGCAGAAUGAAACUGGCGCUGGGUUAGAUAAGGAGAUUGUGAAGGGUCUUAUGCAGAUGCCUGAUGCAAAUAAUUCUUUGGUCAAAAAAUUCCGUAUGGCCAGCGAGAUAUUGAAAAAUAAUAAACAUGAGGUGAUUUCAAUAAGGCUUAUAGCUCUUGGAGAAAAUGAUAGCGCACAGUUUAAUUUGCCUGCAACUGAUGAGCUAGCAGCUUUGGUUUAUGGUGAGUUUACGUUGGAGGCGCCAUGUAGAGACCAGAUAAUACGCACUAAAGCAGAUCGUCUUCGUCGUAUUUCCUCUUUAGAUACUACUUACAUGCCUUUGCAAUAUCCUUUGUUGUUCCCGUACGGUGAACGUGGCUUUCAGCUCGUUGUGCACUAUAUUGAUUCUGAUAGUGAUGACCCGAACAAGAGGGUUAAAAUGACCAUGCAAGACUUCUAUUGCUUCUGCUCGCAUUAUAAACCAGAACAACAUAAUCCAUAUCUAUGCUGUGGCCUGUUUUCAUCACAGGCUGCUGUUGAUUUCUGAGCCUGCAUCGAUGAAUGCCGGCUCAAUUUUAUUCUUAAGUGUAACAAUGAUAUGCGGGCUGAGAAUCUUCAGGGUGUUGUCGAUGCGGUAGGACAGGGUAUGGUUGGUGGGUCCGAGGUUGGGAAGAAGAAUAUUAUGUCGUUGGCUUACACUGGUGGUCGCCGGUAUAUGUAUGAAAAUUUUCAAGAUGCUAUUGCUGUCUCACGGGUUCAUGGGUCGCCGGAUGUCUUCACAACUUUCACAUGUAACCCAAAAUGGGAAGAAAUCCUUGACUCCGUUGAGCCUGGCCAAACAGCAACGGAUAGGGCUGACAUUGCUGUUAGGGUGUACCACAUGAAACUUUUGCAGUACCUUCAUCGAAUUAAAAAAGGGAAUGCCUUUGGUCCCGUAGUUGCUGGUACUGCCCCUUGCAAUCCUCUUUCAAUUCCCUUCUCCUCCUUUUAUUUACUUACUGUUUCUUCCGCCUUUUCCUCCUAUUUUCAGUCUUGCACACUAUUGAGUUUCAGAAGAGGGGGUUGCCGCAUGCACACAUACUUGUUUGGCAAAAGAAGGACGACGAUAGGGUCGUCACACCAGCCCUUAUAAAUUCUUAUAUCUCAGCUGAGAUCCCUGAUCCUGUACAGGAUCCUUUGGGAUAUGCUCUUGUCGCUGAGUUCAUGAUGCACGGCCCCUGUGGCGUUGAUGGUCCAAAAUGCCCUUGCAUGAAAAAGGGCUUUUGCUAUAAAAAAAUUCCAAAACCAUUUCAGGAUGAAACUUCCAUUGAUGAAAGUGGGUUCCCCUUAUAUAGGCGGCCUGACAAUGGACGAUUCGUAAUGAAGAACAAUGUCAGGCUUGAUAAUAGACAUGUGGUCCCCUAUAACAUGCUUAUAUUAAAAAAAAUGGCAAGCACAUAUUAAUGUUGAAUAGUGUAACAAAACGUAUGUUAUCAAAUAUCUAUAUAAAUAUGUUACCAAAGGACCAGAUAAGUCAAAAACCCUGUUUGAGAACCUUAGACGUGAUGGGAACCAGGAUGUUGAUGAGAUUAAAGAGUACAGAGAGUGUCGUUAUAUAGUUGAUUAUGAUUCUUUUUGGAGGGUUUACAGCUAUGAUAUACACGGCAAAACACCAUCUGUUGAGAGAUUGCCUAUCCAUCUCCUGAACAUGCACAUCGUGCGCUUUCGCACACAUGCUACUCUGAGUUCGGUGAUUAGUGAUGCCUGGCUCCAAAAAACAAUGCUAACUGAAUGGUUUGUGGCGAACAGGGUUCACCCUGCUGCUAGGUCCUUAACUUACUGUGAUGUCCCAACUAGGUGGUCUUGGGUAGCUGAGGAUAAGAGAUGGAAAACUAGGACAAGGAGCGAUAGAAUUGGUAGAAUAUACUCUGUGCAUCCAGCGACCGGAGAGCUUUUCUAUUUUAGAAUGCUCCUUAUGAUUGUCAAAGGUGCGACGUGCUAUGAGGAUGUUAGGACUUACAAUGGCAUCGUAUACUCAACGUUCAAAGAAGCAUGUGGAGCAAGAGGGUUGCUUGGCGAUGACAUGGAGUGGUAUACUGCUUUGACGAAGCUGUUAAAUGGGGUAUGGGAAACCAAUUGCGUCAGCUGUUCGUUACUAUGAUCCUUCACUGUGAUGUCAAUGAUGAAGCUGUUUUCUUUGAAAAAUACGAGAUUUACUUAGCUGAUGAUAUUAGGUACAGAAUUCAGAAGUCGAAGAAUAAUUUCACAUAUGUUGUUCCUCCUGUUGAGUUAAGAGACAUUCUACUUGAUGAAUUAGCUGUUAUAUUUGCUGAGAAUAGUGCAUGCAUCCUAGAUCACAAACUACCCUUAAAAUCUGCAUACCAUGAUGCUUCUGUGCAAAAUGAUAUGCUUUCUGAUGCGCUAGAUGUUGAUGUUGUUAGUCUUUUAAAAAAGGCAGAGGUGAUGUAUAAUAGAGACCAGUUGCAUGCUUACUGUGCUCUAAUUGAUUGUGUCAAAUCUAGAAAACCUGGUUUUUUCUUUGUCUCUAGAUAUGGUGGUACUGGAAAAACAUUCCUUUGGAAUGCACUUGAUGCUUAUCUUAGAGGUAGUAAGAGGGUGGUGCUGUCGGUUGCAUCCUCAGGGGUUGCUGCCUUGCUUUUGCCUGCGGGCAGAACAGCGCAUUCUAGGUUCAAAAUCCCUAUUGAUUUGCCUGAUUAUGGCAAUUGUGAAAUUAAGAGGUCUUCCAUGCUCUCCACUCUAAUUGAAGCGUCUGAUCUUAUUAUAUGGGAUGAGGCGUUGAUGUCCCAUCGGAAAUGCUUUGUGGCCCUGGACCGGUCAUUCCGUGAUGUCCUGUCAGCUAACGAUCCUGCCUUAGCUAAAGUUCCUUUCGGUGGCAAGAUUGUUGUGUAAAGUGGAGACCUUAGGCAAAUAUUACCAGUCAUUGAGGGUGGAUCUCGAGCACAGAUUCUUGAUGCUGCAAUCACUAACUCUCCUAUUUGGAAUAUUGUUGAAGUUCUGCACCUAAACAUUAACAUGCGUUUGACUGCGCACACACAUGAUCCGGUGCUCCAGUCUGAAGUGGCUGACUUUGCUGAGUGGGUUCUCAGUUUAGGUGAUGGCACAGCACCUGCUGUCGCCCGUGAGGGGGAAUCAGAUCCAUCAUGGAUAACUAUCCCUGAUGAACUUCUAGUUCAUGCCGAUGGUGAUAAAAUUGAUGCUAUUGUUCAGGCCGUAUACAAAGAAAUUCCUACUAGGUACUCUAAUGUUGAUUAUCUAAAAGAAAGAGCAAUCCUAACACCAACGAACGAAACUGCUGAAAAAAUCAAUGAGCAUGUUCUGUCUUUAGUGCCUACCAGUGAGAGAGAGUACCUGAGUUGUGAUACUAUAGGGAAUUCAUCUGAUGCGGUUCGCAAUCAAGAUGCUUUCUACCCUGUCGAGUACUUGAAUGGGAUUAAGGUCAAUAACUUUCCGUACCAUAGGUUAGUACUAAAGGUAGGCGUUCCCAUCAUGCUCUUGAGAAAUCUUAACCAAUCAACAGGGUUAUGUAAUGGCACAAGGCUUAUAAUCACAAAGCUUGCUGAUAAGGUUAUUGAGGCGAUUGUCAUGACUGGUUCAAACAUAGGCGACGUUGUCUUAAUUCCAACGAUAGGGUUGACCUCCAAAGAUCCUAAAUGGCCUUUCACUUUGCAUCGUCGACAGUUCCCUGUUAGGGUGUCCUUUGCAAUGACUAUUAACAAAAGUCAAGGGCAGACUCUUUCAAAUGUUGGUUUGUACUUGGAUACACCCGUGUUCAUGCAUGGGCAGCUCUAUGUCGCGGUGUCUCGUGUUACUUCAAGAAAUCACUAAAGAUCUUGAUCAAAGGAGAGGAUGAUGAGCCUGUUUCUCAGACAAGGAACAUCGUGUUCCCUGAGAUAUUCGUUUCCAUUCGCUAGGCGGGAUUAGUAACACCCUGUAAUAUAUAACCAAUGAAUUUGCUUAGGUAUGUUUUUGUGGUUUCUAUAUUCUUCCUGCAAUAGAACCGUGGUUUUUUUGCAUAUUUGCCGCUUCUUUUGCCCUAUCUGCCAUGUCCUCCAAUUUCAUGCAUCAAAAAAACUUUUGCGCGCGUGUGUGAUGCUUUCUUUACCUGCUUGCUCACAUCGAUUUGAUUCCCCUCUACCUUCCAGCUGAUCAAGUGAGUUCAUGUGAAUAGUAUCUUUAAACUUGCUCUUUCUUUCUCUGUCUAUGCUCGUUUUCUCACCUCUGCUUGUAUAUUGCAGAUGUCGGGCCAGAGGAUGAGCCUUCUCUCCCAGAUCAAUGACAGAGAGAUGUUCUGGAAUGCUAAGGUUCUGGUGUCCCGCAUGUGGCACUACCGAGGUGGGACCGAUGAAGGUGCCAUUAUGCAUACUGACAUUGUGGUGCUUGACAAAGAGGUUUGUUUGGUACUGCAAAAUCUAUGCUCAUGUUGCUAAUUCUAGCUUGUGCCCCUAAAUUCUAAUGUAAAUGUGUAGGGAACCCACAUGUAUGGCCGGAUCCCUACUGAGCCAGCUAUCAGCCUGCAAGAUGUCUUGCAGGAAGGCAGUGUUUAUAUAAUGAAGAGAUUCAUGUGCAAACCAUCAAAGCCCACUUACAGGGUUGUUGACAGCCCAUUUAUGAUGCAGUUCACUCGCUUUACUACUGUUGAUCCUGUGGUGGAUGAUGAAGAAGAUUUCCCAUACUGCACUUACAGCCUUAUGUCCUUCUCGGAUAUCCCAAUACCAGGCCCGCACACUCCUCACUUUAUCGGUUAGUCAUUCGAUGUUGUCCUCAUGUAUGCCCUGCUUACUCUUGCUCUUCCAUUAAAUUAUCUUACAUUUGCUUUGCUAUUUACAGAUGUGAUUGGCCGGAUUAUUGCUGUCACAGACAUUAUUGUUGUACACUCACAACAUCAAGCUGGUCCUUCAGAUACCAGGACUGUGGUUCUCCAGGAUCAAAUGUGAGCCCCUUGUUUGUUUUUUGUUUGUUUUGCUUUUCUUCUGCCCUUUCCUUCUAUUUACUCGCUCCUGCUGGCUUGUAGCGGAAAUGAAAUCAGCCUUGUUCUCUGGGUGCUCGAGCCCAUGAGUUCGAGGCAGAAGAGGUCCGUGCUGCAAGUGAAUCCACAGUUGUCAUUGCUAUCUUUGUAGGAACACUGCCAAAAGCAUACCGAGGUGAUUGUUUGAUCUAUAACUCACUUUGUCGGGUGGUUGGUGCGACACUUGCCAAGGGAUGGCUUAUCAUUGUGGGAGCCAAUAAAACGUCGCCGGUGCCUAGAAACGGGAUGAGGCGAAGACAUGCACGCCGGCGGAUCUUACCCAGGUUCGGGGCUCUCCGAGGAGAUAACACCCCUAGUCCUGCUCUGCGGGGUCUCCGCAUGAUCACUAGAUCGAGAAAGGGUAGCUACAAUCGCUCCUAGAGCUGUUUGGGGUCAAGGGAGAAAAAGAACAAGGCUAGCUCUCAUUUCCCUCUAUCUAUGGUGUGUGUGCUAUGUUUGGAAGCCAACUAUGCUCAGAGGCCAACCCUUUGCAUGGGUGCUCCGAGGGGUUUAUAUAGGCCUACCCCCCGGGGAUACAAUGGUAAUCCGGAUGGGCUCUGGUCCCAGCCGUCAGUGUCUACGCUCGCCGGCUUCUCCGCCGGCUGCUGGGUCCCGCCGGCUGCCGGCUACUUGGUCGACAGGCCGACCCCACUGCCUGGGGUCUUGUCGGCGGCUGCUUACUGUAGCCGCGCCUCUGAUGACGAGGGCUUUGUCGAGGUAAGCGUGGCUACAGUGGGCCACCUCGGGGGCUCUCACUGUAGCCUUACCUCGUCUUGUCUCCUUAAUGGGGCUCCUGCUUCGAGGAAGGGAGUAGCCGGCUUCUGGAGGCCGGCUACGCUCUUGGCCGACUGGGAAAGGCCAGGCCGCCUUCACGCCUCUCUCUGGCUGAAGGGGCCCGCCGCCCGCGGGCCGUACGGGAGUCGGUCGUGGGUGACAUCAGGGCCAGCAAGGCUAGAGUGCCGAGCCGCACGGGAGACGGCCGUCCCGUACGGCCUCCUGUAGCCAUGCCCGCCUCGGGCUUUGGGGGUAGUGGGCCGCACUGUGGCCACACCCCGUCAUGUCGCCGUUAUGUGGGAACAGCUUGGAGUGGUUGUGGUCUCGGCCGGCUCUUUGGAGUCGGCGUCCUUCUUGGCCGGCUUCUUGGAGUCGGCCACCCUGUAAUCGUCCUGGGGAGGGGUUGCUGAGGUAGGGUCGCCUUCCGGGAGUCGGCUUGAGAGGUAGCCGGCCAGGGAAGGCGGCCCGAAUGCCUGGAGUGCUUGAAGGCCCAAAGGCCUGAUAAUUUUUCUGAAGAACCAGGGGUAGUCGGUUGGGCUACUCGUGGCCAUUUACUCCGACAGUAGUCCCCGAAGCUGAUUGGGCUUCGAGGUGGAGUAGGGGUUGAGAAGCUCGAUCAGCUUCCUAUCUUUACAAGCCGGCAGUUAGGAGCCGGCCUUGGUCAGGCGUGCCGCCUGAGUCGAAAUCUUCUGGAGUCAGAGGGUGGGAGCCCGCUAGCGCGCGCACCGGGCCGCGGGCCGGCCGCUGGCCGUCUGCGAACCACGGGGCCGGAAGGCCAGCCAGCCCACGCGCGUGACGGUACGUCGCCGCAGGGAGGGGGCCCGCCACGUCCGCGCCCCGGCCCAGGCGCGGAUCCUUUGUACCCCGAAACCGCCCGCACGUUCCGUGCGGCAGUUUCGGCUCGCAUUUAUGCGCAAUAAUCGCGAGACGUGGGGGGAGUGGGCGUAGUUAAUCCCACGCCCCCCACGUCCGGCCUCUUCGGCCUCGUGAGGCUAUAAGUAGGGGGAGGUGGAGGGCGGCAGGCCCUCGCACGCUCCUCCUACUUCCACCGUCUUCUUCCUCUUGCCAGUUCUUGCGACAGCGCCUCGCCGCCGCGCUCUUCCACCGCACGCUCCUCCGCCACCGUGCUAGCUUUCGCCAUGCCUCCCACCGUAGAGCAGCUUGGCGGGGAUUGGGACGGCUCCAACGUCCAUGACGACCACGCCGACUUCCUCCGCGACACGCGGCGGCUGCCCAGCGCGGACAAAGUGGAGGUCCGCCUCGCGCCGGCGAAGGAUAUCUCGCCGAGGCCGCAGGAGGGCGAGCGGGUGGUCUUCCGCUCGCACUUCUUGUGCGGCUUUGGCCUGCCAGUGAGCGCCUUAUUCCGCUCCUGGCUCGACUUCUAUCAGCUUCAGCCACACCAUCUCACCCCCAACGCGGUGGUACUGCUGUCCGCCUUCGUCACCCUGUGCGAGGGCUAUCUCGGCGUCCUCCCCACCCUUGAGCUCUGGGGGGAGUUCUUCCAGUCGAAGCUGGGCACGCGCAUUAAGGGCGUGCCGGCUCAUACUGGCGCCUUCAUCGCGUCGCGGAGAUCGGCUGCCGACAACCCCUUCCCCGUCAUCACGCUGAUCCAAUCGGUGAAGAAGUGGCAGAAGUCAUACUUCUACGUGCAGAACAUCGCUCCACGGGGCGACUACAUCAACCUGCCGGCUUACGUAGCCGGCCCACCGGCGGGCAGGCUGCCCCAGUGGUCCUUCCGGGCUGUGACGCUGUCGCCGGCGGGAAACGCCGCCAUCGCCCGAUUGCGGGUGAUGGUCCAGUCGGAGGGCCUGACGGGGCCCGAUCUUCUGGCCGCGUUCGUCACGCGCCGGGUUCUUCCGCUCCAGAGCCGGCCUCAUCUGAUCUGUCAGAUGAGCGGCCAGCUCGAUCCGAGCCGAAUGUGCACCAAGGAGAUGCCGCGCGAGGAGGUCGCCUACAUGGUGAACUACCUUGCGAACUGCAAACUCGCCGAAGCGUGGCAGUUCGGCAAGGAGCCGUAUAGCCGAGCCAAUCCGCCGCCUACGGUAUGCUCUCCCUGUGUCUUUUUCUCUCUCUCUCAGCCUUGUUGCCGAGCAUCUCUUGGCCGACUCUGACUAAGUCGGCUUGUUCUUCGACAGUGCCUUCUGCUUCGGCCGGCCGGCGGGUCAGACGCGGAGCGCCGCUUCGUGCCCGACCGGACCGAACAUGACCUGGAGGACCCCGACCUGGGGGCGGUCCAUAUGGACGAUGACGUCGAGCCGGGCGGAGGCCAAGCCGGCGGCGAAACAGGCGGCUCCGGGUUCACUGCCACCUUUGACGACUGGCCGGACGACGAUGAAGCCGAAGCCGUCCCGCGCCGCCAGCCGGCAUCGGGACGCGGCGCGGGCUCCUCCGCCGCGCAGCCUGCUCGGGGUGGAGGUCAGAAGCGUCGUGCCGCCCAGGGCUUGUUCGGCAGCCGAACGAAGAAACCCAGAGGCGGGGCCGCAGCCACCAGGCGGGAGGAGGCGGCCGCGAAGGCGGCUCGUUUCUGCAAGGUGGUGAAGCAACCGCAGACCGUGUCGGCGUAAGUCCGAAUCUUUCUUUGUGUACUCUCUUUCUUUCUUUUCUUUGGUGGUUAUUGAACUCUCGUCUUUUUCUUCAACGAUCAGAGCUCCGUUGUCACUUGAGCGGGCGGCUGCCGGCUCUGUCGUCGAGUCGCCAAGGGGCUCUGGGAGCACCACCCGCCGCGUGGACCCCCGCACCGACCUCCAGGAGGCGACGGAAAGGCGGCCGCCGCCCAGGCGGUACGGGAGGAGGCGGCGAAGGCACUCCCCGAGGCUGCAGCCAGGGCCCAGGCAGAGGCUGAGGCCGCGGCGGCGGCGGGGGAGGUUUUAAUGGUCACCCCGCUGCGCGUCAUGGCGCCUGGGGACAUGGAACCCUCGCUAGGGGAAGCCAGCAGCGACCAGCCGGGGCUGGGAGGGAAGCGGCGACGAUGUCAUCAUCUUGGAGAAGGCGCCGGAGCCGACCCCACCAACUGGGGCGGCCCAAGGCGGCCAGCCUGAUCCGCCGCCUGCACAGUCGGUGGAGGGUGAGCCGGCCGCGGGGGCUGAGGUGGCGGUCCGGAUGCCGCCGAGCCGGCGCGCGGGGAAGGCCGCGUCGGAGCCACAGAAGGCCGCGUCGGAGCCACGGCCGGCCGUGGGCUUCAGCUCGUCGGCCCGAGACGCGGAGGCGGCCAGCGCUACCUCGGGGUGGACGCCAGGCAGAGGGACAGCCGUAGUGAACGUGGCUGCACAAGACGUCCGGACCCGGCUCCAAAGCCAAGCCGCGGCGCUGAGGCAGUUCACCGACGAGUUCCUCGCAACGCGGGCGGCCAUCCGGGUUAGUACUCCCAUCUUGUUUCUUCUUGAUCUUGAUUUCUUCCGUGGGGGCGCGUCAGCGCACCCACUGGGUGUAGUCCCCGAGUUCCGAGUCGGCUGCUGAGCAGGCGGCUUGGAACUUCUUGGUAGAUUUGCCUUUGCUAUUUUUAUUCUCACUUCGGUCUUCUGUCCAUCUUGCAGGACUACCACAACCUUCGAGCGGCCGCCUUCAACUCCCAGACUCGGGAGCUGACUCAGAAGACCGCCGACCUUACUGAGAGCCGAGGUACGUGACUUGAUCUUUAUCUCAUGUGGGGGUGCGUAAGCGUACCCACUGGGUGUAGUCCCCGAGAUUCGGGCCGACUGCUGAGCAGUCGGGUCGGAUCUUCCUUGACGAUUUCUUACUGUUCUUCUUCUUCUUCUUCCGACUUUGCAGCGGCCAACGCCAGUCUGAGGGCACAGCUGGGGGAGUCCCAGACUGCUCUUCGUGCCAAGGAUGCCGAGCUCGCCGCCUUGGUGCAGGAGCGCGACCGCCUGGUCAAGAAGCUGGCCGACCAGGAGGAAGGCCACAAGGCGGCGCUGAAGGCUGUGCAGGAUCGUGAAGCCACUCUCCAGGCCGAGUUCGAGACGGAGGCGGCUGGCUGGGCUGAGGCCAGGCAGACUCUGGUCUCUGGCUACGGCCAGAUCGAAGAUCUGGUUGACGGUAAGCCGCCUACCUCUCCGUCCUUUUUUGCCAUCUGCCACAUUGGCUUGUUUUCUGAUUUUAGUGUUCUUUUCUUCCUUUCUUCUUCUUCGCGCAGAGUAUUUCCCUGGCUAUUCGACUGCCGCCAACCAGGCCAUCGAGGCCCGUCGCCAAGCGCGAAGGCAGGCCGGUUUUAAGAUCUCGCCAACCGCCGGCCGCUCGCUGGAGGAACAGCUCCUGGCGAUCCAGGCUUGCAUCCAGCCGGCUCACCGGCUGCUCCGCCGGCUUCAGCGUGCCGGGGCGCAGGUCUUGGCCGCCCUCUGGCCCGGCCAAGUGGUCCCUCGCACCCCCAGUCGGACCGCCGACUGGCUGGAGGUGGCAGUCGGCCGCUUCGAGGCUUGGAAGGUGUCGGCGGCUCGCUCCGGUGCCAGGCGGGCGCUGGAGUUCGUCGAGGCCUGGUAUCCCGGCCUGAGCCUGGACCAGCUGGCUACCUGGCGGCAGCAAGUCGACACGGAGCUGGAGCCAGCGCGUCCGGCCAUCAUUCGGCGGGCUUCGGCGAUCGCCGACUACACCGACACCAGCGUCUUCGCCCCCGAGGUGGACAACAAUGGAGUCGCCCAGCCGGAAGAGUGGUUCGGGCUGGACCCGGCGUACGGUGAGGACUCGGCGGAGGAGAUCGACUCCAGCGACGAGGGCGAAGAGGAGGAGGAGGAGGGUGAAGACGCCGAGCCGGCUGGUGGAGUAGCCGGCCAGCCACAGUCUGACCGCGCCUCCAGCACUACGUCGCGCGCCUCCACGCCUCCCGCCGCAGGUGGUGGUCAAGCCGGGGCCCGUUAGUCGGCCACUCCUUCAGCCGGCGAGGCUGCCUUCACCGACCAGCUCGGCCUCCAUGUCGCGCCCUAGUCUGCCGUCUUUUGCUUUUCCUGUCUUGUUACUCUUUAUAAACAUAUUUUGGUUAAAUUCGCACAAUUCCACCCACUGGGUGUAUUCGAACUUAUGUCUGUUGCCGGCCUGUUGACGGCUUUAUGUAUAUAUAUGACUUAUGCAUUUGGCCUUUCCUUGUACUUUUUGCUUUUUGUCCUUCUGCUUUUUCCUUUGCCGCCCUCCCUUGGUUGCCGCCUCCCCAGUCAAACAGUUGCUCUGCAAUCUGUAGCCGGGGGAGUGCCUGGCCGAUUGGGGAGGGGGAAGUACUUUAGCUCUGCUGGACUAAAGCUAAGUUUUUUAGGAAGCCGGCCAGCCGGCUGCUCUGGUAGCCAGCAGGCAUGUUUGGAGGUUGUCUCUUUGCUAUAUAGGUUCGUUGUUCCUUAGCCGUUUUUUGUGUGGGCGUCCUUUCUGUCUUUCCUCUUGCUAGUCGGACAGUCAGUUCUUUGAGCUGUGACUUUCAACAAGAGAGGACUCGGGAGCCGGCGCACUACUUUUUUGACUUUAGGAAAAACUUUCGAUAUAGCUCAAGGCGGCCAGUCCCCGGGCCGACUAGUCGAACCCGGUGCCGGACAAAAAAUCAAAAUGUAAUAAUACAUUCAUGGAUAUGACACUCGUCAUUCAUAGAUAAAUAAAAGGCAGUCCCCGAGUACUGUUCGGGGGGCCUGUUGGUUUUUACUUAAUGUAAAAGGGGAGCGUGAUACAUACUGCUUUUCAGCUGUAAAAUCGUCUUAGGAGGUUUGCGUUCCAUGGUCGCUCCGACUCCUUGCCGGAGUCAUCUCUCUUGCGUGCUCUUGGUUUUUGCGCGUCGAUCAAGUAGUAGGAGUCGUUGCCGAGUGCCUUGCUGACGACGAAGGGGCCUUCCCAAGGGGCCGAGAGCUUGUGCUGGCCGGCUGUUCGCUAGAUCAGCCGGAGCACAAGGUCGCCCUCUUGGAAGGAUCUUGGCUUGACCUUGCGGUUGUAGUAGCGGUGCAGCCCUUGCUGGUAGAUGGCGGACCGGCUGAGGGCUAACAGUCGGCCUUCUUCCAGUAGGUCGACGCCGUCUUCUCUUGCUUCUUUGGCUUCCUCCUCCGUGUACAUGGUGAUCCGAGGCGAGUCGAACUCGAUGUCUGUUGGGAUGACAGCCUCGGCACCGUACACGAGGAAGAAUGGAAUGAAGCCGGUUGACUUAUUGGGUGUAGUGCGCAGACUCCAGAGGACAGCCGGCAGCUCUUCGAGCCAGCAGCCGGCCGAUCGCUCCAGUGGUACAACCAGUCGGGGCUUGAUGCCGGAGAGGAUGAGUCUAUUUGCUCGCUCGACCUGGCCGUUUGACUGCGGGUGGGCAACGGACGCUAAGUCCAGUCGGAUGCCCUGCGUCGCGCAGAAACGUGCCAGUGCUCCUUUGGCGAAGUUCGUGCCGUUGUCGGUGAUGAUGCUGUGCGGCACGCCGUACCGAGUAGUGAUGUCGGUGAUGAAUGUCACGACAGUCGGCCCGUUCAGUUUCUUAGUCGGUUUAGCUUCGAUCCACUUUGUGAACUUGUCCACGGCGACCAGUAGAUGUGUCAGGCCGCCGCGGGCUGUCUUGAAAGGGCCCACCAUGUCUAGUCCCCAGACGGCAAAAGGCCAAGUAAGGGGAAUGGUCUUGAGGGCAGAAGCCGGCAGGUGUUGCUUGGAACUAAAAACUUGACAUCCUCUGCAGCUCUUGACUAUUUCUUUAGCAUCCUCCAAGGCAGUCGGCCAGAAGAAACCAUGGCGAAAAGCCUUGGCCACAAGGGAUCUUGAGGCUGCGUGGUGGCCGCAUUCGCCUUGGUGGAUGUCUUUGAGGAUUGCCACUCCUUUUUCUGGCUCGACACAACGCUGGAAGACUCCAGUGACGCUGCGCUUCACAAGCUCUCUGUUGAUUAUUGUGUAUGCUGCGGCUCGUCGUUGCACUAGUCUUGCUGAGAUCUCGUCAGCCGGCAGCUCUCUGCUGACUAGGAACUUGAGGAUGGGCUGGGCCCAUGAGGGAGCUGUGACUUCUUCUUCUGUUAAUGUGGCCACCAUGACUCGGGUGGGUGGGUUGGGUGUUGCAUUGGAGUCGGCCACCGCUUCUUGUGCCGCUGCAGUCCCCAGGCCGACUGCUGCAGUCCCCGGGCCGGGUUUUGAAGUCCCCGGGCCGGGUGCGACUACGGUAGUCCCCGGGCCGGUUGUCGAAGUCCCCGUGCCGCCUGCGGGAUUUCUCCAGUCGGAUCCGACUAUAUCUGGCUCAGGCGGUACGAAAAUGGAAUCCGACUCUGGAGACGGCUUGAUGGACGGCUUGAGGAGGCGCUGGAGGGAGACGCCAGUCGGUAUGGCUUGUCGGGUGGAGCCGAUCCGUGCUUGGGCAUCUGCUUGGUCGUUGUCGGCCCUUGGCACGUGAAGGAACUCGCACCCUUCGAAGUAUCCGCUUAUCUGCUGGACGAGGAAACGAUAGCUCACCAUGUUCGCGUCCUUGGCGUCCCAGUCGCCAGAUGAUUGCUGGACCACCAAGUCUGAGUCGCCGUAGCACAGGAUCCGGCGUAUACCAAGCUCUUUGGCUAGCCGGAGCCCGUGUACGAGCGCCUCGUACUCAGCGACGUUGUUGGAGGCGGCGAAGUGGAUCUGCAGCGUGUACUUGAGCUUGUCGCCUUUGGGAGAGGUGAGGACGAUGCCGGCUCCCAAGCCGGUGCGCAUCUUGGACCCGUCAAAGUGCAUCCGCCAAUGGGUAGAGUCGGGAGCCGGCGGUAAGUACUGGGUCUCGGCCCAGUCGACGAGUAAGUCGGCCAAUGCUUGCGACUUGAUGGCGGUGCGGGGUUGAUAGAAGAUCGUGUAGGGCACCAAGGCAAUGGCCCAUUUGGCCACCCGGCCGGAUGCAUCCCGGCUGCCUAUGAUCUCGGCGAGCGGGGCAGUGCACACGACCGUGUUGGGGUGCUCUUGGAAGUAGGGCUUCAAUUUCUUGGCAGUGAAGUACACCCCAUAGCACAUCUUUUGGUAGUGCGGGUAGUUUUGCUUUGAGCUGGAAAGUACUUCGCUGAGAUAGUACACCGGCCUCUGGACCAGCUGGGCUCGGCCUUCCUCCGGGCGCUGGACCACAACAACAGUGCUGACGACUCGGCUAGUCACGGCAAUGUAGAGGAGCAUGGGCUCCUUCUCAGACGGGGCUGCCAGGACAGGCGGAGUGGUCAACAUUUUCUUCAACUCAUGGAAGGCUUGGUCAGCUUGAUCAUUCUACUCAAAGUGAGUGGACUUCUUCAUGAGUCGGUACAGGGGGAGAGCCUUUUCUCCUAGUCGGCUGAUAAAACGAUUCAGGGAGGCUAAGCAGCCAGUGAACUUCUGCACAUCUCGCAGCUUGGUGGGAAUCUCCAUCCUCUCGAUGGCCUUGAUCUUGACGGGGUUGCACUCAAUGCCGCGUUCGGAGACCAGGAAGCCUAGCAGCUGGCCGGCUGGCACUCCGAACACGCACUUCUCGGGGUUGAGCUUGAUUUGGAAUCGGCGCAAGUUGGCAAAUGUUUCUCUCAGGUCUUCCAGCAAGGUACCGCGCUUCUCUGUCUUCACCACAAUGUCGUCUACGUAGACGUGGGCAUUUCUGCCGAGUUGUUUCAAGAGACAUUUCUGCAUGCAACGCUGAAAAGUGGCACCGGCAUUUCUCAAGCCGAAUGUCAUUGUCAGGUAGCAGAAAGCUCCAAAGGGUGUGAUGAAGGCAGUCUUCAGGCGGUCAGCUGGGUCCAACUUGAUCUGAUGAUACCCUGAGUAUGCAUCCAAAAAACUUAACAGCUCGCAUCCGGCUGUGGAGUCUAUCACUUGGUCAAUCCGUGGCAGGGCAAACGGAUCCUUUGGGCAGGCCUUGUUCAGACUAGUGUAGUCUAUACACAUACGCCACUUGUUAUUCUUCUUCAGAACCAGAACUGGGUUGGCAAGCCACUCUGGAAAGAACACUUUCAUGAUAAAGCCGGCUGCAAGGAGCCGGGCUAUCUCUUCUCCCACAAUUCUUCGCUUCUCUUCUGACAGUCGGCGGAGGGGCUGCUUGACCGGCUUCGCAUCAUCUCGGACAUGUAAUUUGUGCUCGGCGAAAUCCUUCGGGACACCCGGCAUGUCCUUUGGGGACCAUGCAAAGAUGUCUCGAUUCUCACGGAGGAAGUCGACGAGCUCGCCUUCCUAUUUACUGUCCAAGCUCGCCCCAAUGACAGCGAACCUCUCCGGGUGCUCCGGGUCCAGAGGUAUCUUCUUCGUCUCUUUUGCAGGCUGGAAGGAGCCCUGCGCAUCACGAUCCUUGGGGUUGGGGGACAAGGCCGGCUGCUUGCCGGCCAUGGCCACAACCCGUUCCAACAUCUUCUUCUCUUCUGCCACCACGAGGGACUCGGCCAGCCGGCUACUGGCCAUGGCGCACUCAAUGGACUUCUUGUAGUCGCCGGCUACCGUGAUGAUCCCAUUCGAGCUCGGCAUCUUCAUCUUCAGGUAGGCGUAGUGGGGCACAACCAUGAACUUGGCCAAAGCAGGUCGGCCAAGCAAUGCAUGAUAGGGGCUCUCCAAAUCCACUACCUCGAACCAUAUUGCUUCCCGGCGAAAAUGAUCUUUGUCUCCGAAGAGAACAUCCAUUUUGAUCUUGCCGAUUGGGGAGCAAGACAGGCCGGGUACGAUACCAUGGAAGACGGUGCGGCUCGGCAUGAGCUGCUUCGCUUUGAUGUUCAGCUUCUCCAUGGUAUCGCGGUACAGUAUGUUGAUACUGCUUCCGCCGUCUAUCAGGACGCGGGAAAAUUUGGCAGCUCGCCUCUCCGUCGCGAGGGUGACGUCCAAGACCAUUGCAUAGGAGCCAGGCGAAGGCAUCACCUUUGGGUGGUCGGCCUGGCUCCAGCUGAUUGGCUUUUCUGACCAGUGCAUGAACUCGGGGGCGCUGGUGGCGACUGCAUUCACUUCUUGGUGCUGUCGGCGUCGGCUGCGCUUGUCGUCGGCUUGACUAGUGAAGACGACGUAGGCGGCGUGCUCUUCGGGGAAUUCGUCUUGGAUGGCGCCGACUGCUGGCCGAGCUGCCGGCUGCUGGGGGGCUGGAGGCGGCGGGCCGGGAGGCGGAGGCGGCAGCAUUCCCUCGCCCUUGGUGAUGCGGGUGAGCCAGUGGCAUUUCCGGGUUGUGUGGUUGGACGGCUUCGCGCAGCUAUGGAACUUGCAGGGGGCGUCUAGAGCUUGUUCGUAGGAGAAAGACGGCUGCCAAGGCGGCCGGCCACCCUUCUUCUUGGGAGCGGGCCGAUUCUCGGGCUGCUCGUCUUCAACUGUGGCCACCUGCCUACUGGAGGAAGUCGGCAUGGGGCCCUUGCGCUUGUGGUCGUUCUGGUAGGGGCGCCGAUUAGGGUCGCCAGCCGGCGUCUUGGGAGCCGGAGCAAUUACUUUCCCCGAGGCGUCCACUCGGAGCUCGGUCUUCAUUGAGGAGUCGGCUGUGGCGUACUUGUCGGCGAUGACUAGUAACUCGUCGAGGGUAGCCGGCUCGUCGCAGAGGAGUCGGUGCUUGAGGAGGGUGCCCUCUCGGCACCCGACGGUGAAGUACUUGAUGGCCUGGACCUCGUGCACUCCCUCGCAGGAGUUGCGGAGCUCGGCCCAUCGCGUGAGGUAGUCGCGGGUCGACUCGUUGGGCCCUUGGACGCAGAGGGAGAGCUGGCGAGGCUUGGGAGGCCGCUUGUAGGUGCUGGUGAAGUUGCGGAUGAAGACUUCGGUGAAGUCCAGCCAACUGUUGAUGCUGUAGGGCUUGAGGCUGUUGAGCCAUGUGCGCGCCGUGCCUUGCAGCAUGAGGGGGACGUACUUCACGGCGACGCGCCGAUUGCCGUUGGCUAUGCUGACGGCCGUGGAGUAGUCGAUGAGCCAAUCUUCCGGCUUCACCGAGCCGUUGUACUUGGGCGUGUCUCUGGGGAGCGAGAACCCUUUGGGGAAGGGCUCGUCGCGGAUGCGGGGGCCAAAGCAUGGCGGGCCGACAUCGUCUUCUUCUUCUAACGCCAAGGAUCGAGCAAGGCGGUCGAUCCUGUGGCGGGCGUCGUUCUCGCCGACUCCUUCUCGGCGGCCGAGUCGGUCGCCAAGAGUCGGGUGUGUGAUAGGCGGCGGAGUGAGGCGUCUUUCUCUUCGAGGCGGGGGAGAAGGCAGAUUUCCUUGGUGCUCUACAGCUCGAGGGCGGCCAUCCGCGUUGCGCUCGAUGGUGAUGCGAGUCCGGCUACGGCUGGCAGCCGGCUCCUUGUCUUUCUUCUGGCGCGCGCCGCUCGCAGUCGGCGAGCGGGACGUCGCGGCGUGCUCCCGGCGCGGGGGAUGAUUAUCAGCACGGGCGCCGGCUUCGUGCCGUUCUGCAGCCGCGUCGAGCAGCUGUUGGAUCCGUCUCGUCAUGUAGGGGAGCUCAUCGGCUCCCAGCCCAUUGAGCUCUUCUGCAGCCGCCUGAGUGGCUCGCAGAUUCUCGAGCGGGGUGGCGUAGACGGGGCGAUCUGCGCCCAGCGCGCUGCGACGGCUGCGCCGCGCUUCUGGACGAAGCCGACUCGGCUCGCGCCGCUAGGCGGCGGCGUGCCGAAGGCGGCGCGGUCGACUUCGCGCUGGUGGGCCUCGGUGAGGCGUCUCAUCGAGGCUAUCUUCUGGCCCUCCGCGAUGAGGGCAAGGCGGCGUGCCUCCAGGGUCUCGGCGUCGGCGUCGGCCGGGAUGGGGACGGAGAGGUCGUGCAUCGCCGCUUGCUGAGUGUCGCGGGCAUUCUCGGCCGAGUUGGAGACGUGGCUGAUGACCAGCACUUCGGUGACAGCGCUGCUCCCGCUGUCAGCUCGAGGGAGGGGGUUGUCGAAGACCACCAUGUCGGAGGGGUAGGCGUCAAGCGACGCGGUGUCGGAGUCGAUGAGCAUCGGGUCGGUGGAGCCGACGGACUCCAUGUCCGUAGCAGGCUCGCUGGAGACGUGAAGUUGGUCGAGGAGGCAGAUGAGGCGGCUCUCGGGGUAGCCGGUGCCUGCGUCGGACGCAGGCUCGUCGGAGAUGCGAGUCUCGCCGAGCAGAUCGGCGAGGCGGCGCGCUGCGCAGGCGUCGUCGACGCCUUGCAGCGCGUCGAGGCAACCGCCAUCGGGCGCAGCAGGCUGGCUGCGCUCGCGGGGGAGGAAGAGGGUUCCCGUCCAGAACAGGUCGACGGUGCACCUGGCCCCAGGGUGGGCGCCAAAUGUCGGGUGGUUGGUGCGACAUAUGCCAAGGGAUGGCUUAUCAUUGUGGGAGCCAAUAAAACGUCGCCGGUGCCCGGAAACGGGAUGAGGCGAAGACAUGCACGCCGGCGGAUCUUAUCCAGGUUCGGGGCUCUCCGAGGAGAUAACACCCCUAGUCCUGCUCUGCGGGGUCUCCGCAUGAUCACUAGAUCGAGAAAGGGUAGCUACAAUCGCUCCUAGAGCUGUUUGGGGUCAAGGGAGAAGAAGAACAAGGCUAGCUCUCACUUCCCUCUAUCUAUGGUGUGUGUGCUAUGUUUGGAAGCCAACUAUGCUUAGAGGCCAACCCUUUGCAUGGGUGCUCCGAGGGGUUUAUAUAGGCCUACCCCCGGGGGUACAAUGGUAAUCCGGCUGGGCUCUGGUCCCAGCCGUCAGUGUCUACACUCGCCGGCUUCUCCGCCGGCUGCAGGGUCCCGCCGGCUGCCGGCUACUUGGUCGACAGGCCGGCCCCACCGCCUGGGGUCUUGUCGGCGGCUGCUUACUGUAGCCGCGCCUCUGAUGACGAGGGCUUUGUCGAGGUAAGCGUGGCUACAGUGGGCCGCCUCGGGGGCUCUCACUGUAGCCUUACCUCGUCUUGUCUCCUUAAUGGGGCUCCUGCUUCUAGGAAGGGAGUAGCCGGCUUCUAGAGGCUGGCUACGCUCUUGGCCGACUGGGAAAGGCCGGGCCGCCUUCACGCCUCUCUCUGGCUGAAGGGGCCCGCCGCCCGCGGGCCGUACGGGAGUCGGUCGUGGGUGACGUCGGGGCCAGCAUGGCUACAGUGCCGAGCCGCACGGGAGACGGCUGUCCCAUACGGCCUCCUGUAGCCAUGCCUGCCUCGGGCUUUGGGGGUAGUGGGCCGCACUGUGGCCACACCCCGUCGUGUCGCCGUUAUGUGGGAACAGCUUGGAGUGGUUGUGGUCUCGGCCGGCUCUUUGGAGUCGGCAUCCUUCUUGGCCGUCUUUUUGGAGUUGGCCACCCUGUAAUCGUCCUUGGGAGGGGUUGCUGAGGCAGGGUCGCCUUCCGGGAGUCGGCUUCAGAGGUAGCCGGCCGGGGAAGGCGGCCCGAAUGCCUGGAGUGCUUGAAGGCCCAAAGGCCUGAUAAUUUUUCUGAAGAACCAGGGGUAGUCGGUUGGGCUACCCGUGGCCAUUUACUCCGACACACUUAGCCCGUUGUUCAAUCUGGCGGUUUGAUGCACAUUUUUCCUUGUCUGUGUGUCUCGAUAGGUAUUAAAGGCCUGAGUGGUAGCUCUGCAUGCCGCUGGUACAUUGAUGAGGACCCGCCAGAGAUGAAUGCCUUUCGUGCUAGGUAUUUCCUCUUUCUAUGUGGUUGUCAGUCGUCGAGAUUUAUAGAGCUAUUCUGACUCGGUUACAAUUAACCAUUUUUAAUCCAGCCUUGCAGAAGGGCUUCCUGCCGUCACUGCUCACAUCCCAGGAGAACAAGCGAUUGUUCCAGCACCUGUUCACGAACCUCCUGUUGAAUUGACUGUUCAGGAGUUGCUUGCCCUUGACCCAUUUGACAACUUGGUACCUCCUCUCCUUACUUCUUCUAUACCUUUCCCUUUUCUUUUUAGCAUCCUCUCACUAUACUUGUGUUCAUCAUUAAAUGCAGAAGAAACAGUUUAUUGUCAAGGUUACUAUCACAGGCUUGGGCUCUGACAACCGCUGGUGGUUCCUCUCGUGCCGGAAAUGCCAUAAAACAGCCUACACCUCCGGAUGGCAGUACCGUUGCUCAGACUAUGACUGUUCUUCUAUCAUAGCAGAUCCUUCGUGAGUGCCUUUCCCUCAUAGUCUAUUUUGGUUUGUCUACUGGGUUGAUUCUGAGUGCAUUUGCCUUGCAAUGUCUAGAUACUACGUGUGUACUUUCGAAAGCGAUGGCGCAAAUGAAGCAGAAUUUAUGUUCUUUGAUAGGGCUGCAAAACAAGUUGUUGGCAAGCCACUCAUGACUUUGAUUCACUGCAAGUACCCAGGUUUUACAAGUGCGCUUGAUCUUGCUUAGAUAGGAGGUUCUGAUGUAGGUUUGCCUGUUGAAAUUUCCCGCCUUGUUACCCAGAAGUAUAGGCUGGUCGUUUCUAUCUCCAACAAGAAUUUUCAGCCUGCAAGCACCCAGCUGUCCUUCCAAGUUGGUAGAAUUGAUGAAACCUUUAAGCCUGACCUUGUACCCUUUGCAUCUGCUAGUGCAUCAUCUUCCUCUGGAGCAUCGUCUUCUGCUAAGGGCUCAGACAUGACAGUGCCCAUUCCCACCUCUUUCUCUACAGGAUCGUCUACACUCGUUGUGCUACCUCUCGAUGAGGUAUAUAUGUUGCUGGUUUCCUCUCUCAAGUUCUCUUUCACCCGUUUAAUGCCUGUGUUGUUUCUUUGCCAGAUGAACACUCCUAUAUCUGCAUUCAAAGGUAAAGGACAGGCUAUUGUGCCUAAAACACCCAGGUAUCAAUCCUCCAUUUCUCCUAGCAUACAUUCUGAAAAUACUUCUUCUUUGCCCAUGACUGAUGUUUUUUCUUUUUUGCAGCCGGUCCCCAUGCCCAAAAAGUGCUCGCCGCAAGCUUCUUAUUGGCCCCCCUAAGUCUAAGGGCACUGAACUACCUGCCUCUGUUAGCAACGUUACUGUCCAGGCUGGAAAGGUUGUCGCAGUUACCCAAACUGAAGAGGUUGCCGCCACUGGAAAUGUUGUUCAGCCUACACCCAUGCCAACCGUUAGUGCAUGUACUUAAUAUGCAAACAUCAUUCUUAUUCUGCACAAAUUAUGCUUGAUGUGCAAUAAUCUUUGUUCGCACCAAUCUGUACAGGUUCGACAUGAGACUGAAACCACAACUGCUGAGGAUCCAAAGAUCAUCAUUCCUGACCCCUCUAAGGCCAAGAGGUAAAGGCUCAUGAACUGUUACAUUCAGCUACUUCUGCGCCUAUGACAAAGGCAUUGACUUUACUCUUGUCUUGCUCUGCCUUUUAUGAAACAAACUAGGUUGUGAUAUUAGAUUAUGGAAUAUCUCCUGGUUUAGUAUGUGCACAUGGUCUGUGCUCUUUCUAAUAUAGUUCUAUGGUCCAGUGACCAUUGUAUUUGCUGCUUUGUCAUAUCUCUUAAGAAACUGGUACAUACUAUUUUGUUGCCAGGUUUGCUCCCUUUUCUAUGGCUCAUUGGUAUAUGCAGAUUAGUUAUCUGGCCACAACAAAUAUUAUCAACUUUUCUCUGUUUCGUUGUUCAUUGAUGCACUGUAAGCUAGACGCCUAUACAGUUAUACUAGGUCGUGAUUUAGUAAUCCAGUGGGUCUUUUGUUCUUUUAGAUGAAAACCACCUCUCUACAUGCAUCUUGACUAUAUUUCCUUCUUCGCUGAUGCAUGCGAUGCCAUUUGAUCAGGCAUUUCUUUGUACGCCUGCUAUUUCCACAUUCAUGAGAGGCUCAAUAAAACAUCCUUUUAGCUUCAGCAUUUUUAUAUACGUUCUCAGUUAUUUUUCCUUGCACGUCCAUGCAAGAUAAUUAGCCAUAAAGCUGGUUUUCUGCUUAUUUAUGUUGUUCUCCAAUUCACGUGUCUAAUCUUUAAAUCCAUGUUGUUUCUACGACAUUCUAUGGGUCUAGACUUUCUUGCGAAGACAAGAUUAUUAAAAUUUCUUUUAUUUUUGCCAAUUGAUCAAAUUCAGGACAAACAACCCUAGCAAGGGUGCUGGCAUCCCAAAGAAACUAAAGCAGUAGUUCUUUCAUGGAGUGGUCGUUCCAUGUAGUAAUCUAAAUAUGUACAUACGGUAAGACUAAUACCUCUUCAAUUCCAUCUAUUCUACAUCCAUGAUGCAUGGUAUGUCGCAAUAUGAUAAUAACUGUGAUUCCUCUUCUUUCUCAGGGUUUCUUCUAUGUUCUGCUUGCUUAUCAAGUAAAGUCUACGAUGGACGGAUGUCGUGCUGAACAGGCCUUCUCAACUGUACUGCAUCACAGCAGCGGUUUGGCCAUCGGGCCGGGUUUGAAGAUCGUCGACUCAGUGCGCUUUUGGGCAUGCACUGGAUUUACUUUUGUGCGGCUUUAUAAGAUAGGGCUUUGACGCCUGCAGAAUUGUGUUAAACCGCUGUCAUGACAACUCCUUUAUUUACGUCCUCGAACAAAGCAUCAUGUGUUGUAAAUAUCGCCGUUAGCUCUUCCUGUCUGAACUCCUUGUGACAACUAUCCACUGUAAAUACCGCUGGAUCAUGCUGCUUGCUCUAAGUCCUCUUGUUGUUCUUAUGCUGUGUGCUUCUUCUUAUGUCUUAUAUUUAC